RNAcentral lists this long non-coding RNA (84589 nucleotides) under Citrus sinensis (sweet orange). RNAcentral describes it as "long non-coding RNA (CSIN_LNC001830)". Lineage: Eukaryota; Viridiplantae; Streptophyta; Magnoliopsida; Sapindales; Rutaceae. The record is from RNAcentral.
AAAAAAGAAAAAAAAAAAGACGUACGAAUCAAGCAUUUUAUCUAUUGAUAUCGCAGAGCCUUGCAACAAACGUUGCAGAAAUUGGAUUAAUAAAAAUCAAACUUUAAGAUCUAUGAUCCUAUGCUCCAAUAAUAAUAAUAAUAAGGGUUAUUAUUAUUUUAUUACUUUAAAAAUUAUCAAAUAUCAAAUAACUACAACAAAUAUUAUUUCCUAUUAUUUUCUUACUAUAUCUUUAUAAAAAUAGCAUUUUACUACUUUUCUGUUAUAAUCUUGACAAACAAAAUACUAAUUUCACUCUUCAUGAUUAAAAAAAAAAUACUUAAAGCUUAUUUACAAAAUAAAUUUGUAAUAUAUUUAUUAAAAUGGAUAUAAAACACCAACAUAAUUAUUUUAACUGGAAUUAUGAUAUAUGGAUUAAAAAUUUAUCUUAUUAUUUUUUUAAUCAUGAAGGGUAAAAUUGAUAUUUUAUUAGUCAACUAACGGGUCAACUAACGGUUGUAAUGAAAAAGUAGUAAAAUGAUAUUUUUAUAAAAAUAUAAUAGGAAGAUGAUAGAAGACAACACUUGUUGUAGUCAUUUGAUAUUUGGUAAUUUUUGAAACAGUGAAAUGAUAAUAACUCUAAUAAUAAUAAUAAAGAUAUAUGAUUGACCGACUAAGACCGUAACCCCCUUCAAUAAUGUAUUUACUCUUUUCAUCCAUGCUCGUUAAAUUAGAUUGUUUCAAAUCUAACGGCUCAUCCAAAAAUGAAAAAAAAAUACAAGUUAAAUACAAGGUGUUUUUUUUCCCCCAAAUAGAUUCUCAUUAUUGCAAGACAAAAUUUCAAAAUAAACAAGUUAAAUGUUGUAGAAAAUCUUCACCUGUAUAAGAUAAUAAUAAUACCUAAAUGUGAUUUUUAACCAAAGCAUCAACUGCUCUAUUAUAAUUUUUAGAAACAUGGUCAAUCUUGAAAUCUUACUAAAUUAACAGUAGAUACUUCUUAUAAUUAUUCAAAAUAGCUUAAUACAAAUACAAUGAAUACGAGGUUAUUUGUCCUUGUUACUAGAUAGUGAAGCCUUUGAUGCAUAAUAAAAUGUUAAAAAAUAUGAAUUAACAUAAUAAGAUCAAAGACAAGAACUAUAUAUGCAUUUGUACUAUUAAACAAUUUUAUUUGCUAAAGUUUGUGUACUUGUUAAGACCUUGAAGGAUUUUAUAAAAAUAUUUAAUUGGAAAAUGUAUGUUUCCCUUUCACUUUUUGAGGAAAACAAUUUUUUUUUCUUUUUUAAUUGAAGGAAAGAAAAAUCAAGUCUAAACGCAGUAUUACACUCUUUAGAAACAUACAUUUUCCAAUUAGAAACAUACUCUUUAGAAACAUGGCCAAUCUUGAAAUCUUGCUUCAAUAACAGUAGAUGCUUCUCAUAACUAUCCAGAAUAGCUCAGUACAAAUACUAUGAAUAUAAGGUUAUUUGCCCUUUAUAUUAGAUAGUCGGGCCGUUGCUGCAUAAUAAAGUGUUAAAAUAUAAAUUAACAUAAUAAGAUCAAAGACAAGAAGUAUAUUUGCAUUUGUAACAUUAAACAAUUUUAUGUAGUUAUUUAUUUUUUAACUUCGAUCUUAUACGCAAUUAAUUUGCAAAGUUUGUGUAUUUGUUAAGGGAUUUUAUAAAAAAAUGUCUCGUUGAAAGAUGCAUGCACCCCUUUCAAUUUUUGAGGAAAACAAUUUUUUUUUAAUUGAAGGAAAUUUUUUUUAAUACAAUAAAAGUCCAAACAUAUUAUACUCUCACAACUACAUGAGAAUACUCAAACUCUCCACUUUAAUAUUAAGGAGAAGAGUGAUUGACCAAUAUUACCAAGGGAUCAUUACCAAUAAAAUAAAAAAUUACAGACCCUAAAAUGUAACUUUAAAGAAUAAUAAUAGAGUUAUAAAUUCUUAUAUAAGUAAUUUUUAUACAAAUUGAUAUGGUAUAAUAUCAUUGGUUGAGUAAAUAUAUAAUAUAAUAAAGAUAAAUCAUGUGGACAAUGUGUUGGUUUCAUUCAACCAACUAUGUUACAAAAUUAAUAUAAAAAUUUAUAGAUGUAUCAUUACUCUAUUUUAAGCGAACACAUUAAAAAAUCAAAAGCAACUUUGAGAUCAUAUCACUAAAAUGGUCCGAUUAAUAAAAAUGUAUAUACCACCAAAAAUGACCAUUAAAAAUUAAAGCAACUAUAUUACCUAUAAAAAUGACAAAAUUAUUAUAAAUGACCACCGUGAAUAAUGACUGCGUCAUUAAAAAUAAAAUAAGUUAAGAGAACAUUAGAACACGUGCAGGUCAUUUUAUUAUUGUUGUUUAAAUGUUAUUUAUCGCGAUAAAAUACCAAAAUUGCCCUUAUACCUAUCGCUAGAUUCACAGGUCUGGUUAAAAUUAAACCAUGGUUAGUUCACUCACGUGAUUAACUAACCCUACUGUUACUGCGAUGCUCUAAUAAUGAGCGCCCCCACACCGGCUUGAAAAAAAAAAAUUCAACAAUAAACUAAUAAUAAAAACAUAACCGUGGUUUGAUCAGUCACGUGAUUAACUAACCUUAUUGAAUGUAACUCAAUACUCUCUAAUAAUAAGCGCCACCACACCGGCGUUAAAAACAAAAAAAAUUGCAACAAUAAAAUAAUAGAAAACAUAUCAGAAUAAAUAAUGAUAUAAUUCAACAAAAAUUCAACGUCGUUAAAGAUUCCGUUAGAUUGAUGAAGUCCGUGAGGUGAUAAAAAUUUGCCACGGGCGCAUGCUAACUUGAUGAUAGACGGGUGUCGACGGUUCAAAGGAGGAGUAAUCAGGACCGUUUGAUUGAUGAUUGAUGGUCACGAAUGCUCGGUGUGGAACCGAGAGUAUGAAAGAGGGGUAUAAAACUGGUUUUAAAAGGGAGAGAGAAUUUCGUUUAUCAGAAGAAGGAAGGAGAGCACUUUGUGUUGUUUGUUCUCUCUCUGGUUUCUCUGCGAAUUUUCAUUCACUUUCUUUCGUUUUCUCAGAAGCCAAACAGACUACUUUGGCUGAGAAUUGACGAGAAUAUGAUAACGGAAUGUUGAGAAUCUGAAUCCAAUAGAGAGAUAGAGGAGAUUUAGAGGUGUGUAUUACCAACACACUUUUGUUUUUCAUUAUUAAGAAGAUCAAUUUAAAAAAAUUGGCCGGUAUAAUUGUUGUUUGGUUCAUGCUUUAGUUUACAGACAAAUUCAAAAUGACAAAAGACGACAUGGUUCAGUUGGCUUAGUGUUAAUUCCGUAUAAUUCAUCCUCUGAUAUAAUCAUUUUAUUUGUUUUGCAGAUACAUUUCUUAAGAGAAUAGAGAAAUUUCUGUAAGGGGAAGAUCAUAAUCUCUCAUUAGAGCAGGAGAUUUUCAAGUCUUUGAAAUGCCAAUCAUUUCGCUGAGAAGCUGAUAUACAUUCGAUUUGUAUUCUGCCGACUGAAAGAAGCAAAAAAUCGGCGAAUUUGAGAUAUUGGAGGUAUAAAAAACAAGCAUAUCGAUUUUCAUCUCGUCGAUUUAACUCGGGACCGGUUCUCUUUCAUUUCAGUUUUGAAUCGGUUUCCACUUGCUUCUUAUUACGAAGCUUAUACUUAAGUUCGACUCCGAUUCUCGUUUUUUCAGCUGUUUGGCUCUGGCGAGAAUUCAUCAUUAGCGUCUACAAGAAAUUUCAGUUCCAUGAAAAUCUUGACUUGUUAUUGAUGAAAUAUUUUUUUCGUUUUGAUUUUUGUUCUUUUGACCAUCUCUCAGUCUCGUCUUAUUCGAGCUUUAAAAUUUUUGUCAGUCUCGUCUUAUUUUGAGUUUUAGCUGUGGUUGCUUCUCAGAUUUUUCUCAAAUUACCUACGUUUGGUUACUGAGAAAGAAAGCAGAGAGAAAAAUAACAUCUCAGAACUUCUUUCCAUUCUCGAAUUGAUCUCUAGAACCAACGAAUUGGUUCUGAUUGUUGCAAUUCACGAUCCUUCUUUAUUUUCUUUUUCGAACAUUUUCUCGGCAGCCGAGCAAAAGCAUGGAGCUUGAGAAAUUUUUUCUCCGCUUUCUAUGCGUAUUCUUCGUCAGAUCCUCUGGAGUGAGUACGUCUGUGAUCUAUUUUUGAAUUAAAAUUCUCAUUUUCACUGCUGAUGACUAUUACAGCAUCACUCGGUAGAGAAUUCUGCAUUUUUUCAUUUUGAAAAAUCCUUGGCUGUCGGAUCUUCCUCUUCCAGUCUUCGGUCUUCCUCAGUAUUCAAUAUUUUUGUUGCAUUUUAAUAUAUGUGAUUCUUAUGGUAAGCCUACUUUUCUUCUCAAAAUUUGGGAAAAUUCUUAGCCGUUACUCUAAAAUUUUAAUUUUAAUCAUUCGUUUUAAAUGGCGUGGAAGUUGCCGGAAAGCCGAAGCCGUAUCCAAAUUGUUCAUUUUGUUUUUCUUUUUUAGUAUAAUUCUGCAAGUUAACCGUAAUUUAGGAUGAGUAAUUGUAAUUAACUUAUCUGAAUGGGACAGGUUUGCGAAAGGAGAUGGAUAAGGACUUGUUGAGAAGCGGUAAUAAUGGGAGCACUUGCAAAGAUGGGGGAUUAUUAAGAGCUAGCUCAGAGAUCAACACUAGGCAAACGGCGUCGUCUGAUUUCGUCUUACAGUGGGGGAACAGGAAGCGACUCCGGUGCAUGAAAGUUCAAGUCAAAGACGAUUCGUCCGCUUCGGCCCAUCGGACGACGGUUCGAGUCGUAAGAACCGACAAAGACACGUCCAAUCAGCCGAGUACUGCCACCGCUAACCAUAAUAUUGGUAACGGUUAUUUUAAUCUCCGUCGACGGCCAUCUUCGCCUCCGCCACCGCCACCGCCACCUCAGCGUGUGCUCAGGUAAUAACUCGGUAUCAUCGUUUGUUUGAUUUUAUGUUUGAAUAAAAACAGAGAUUUGUAUGCUUAUUCUUACGGCGCGUAUUAAACACUGUCGGCUGAGAUGGUGGAUCUUGUUUUUAGCUGUGGGGUUGUUCGCACUGAGGGCCUGAGCCUGAACCUUCGCUGGUGUUUGCGAGGCAACUGUAGUGUUGUGUGUAUGACGUUUAGAUAAUUGAAUGGGUUGCGCGUGGGCCCGUGACGCGCUUUGUGUCCGUGUUCGCAGUUUAGUGUUAGCUCCUUUAUUGUUCGAUUUCUAUAAUCCACAUUGGCGCGGAAAAAGAUUUCGAUCUGCUCUCUUUGAUGGGUCCCUUUUUACCCUUUAUCUUUAAUUAAUGGUUUUCUGCCGCAAGAAAUAUGUUUUACCGUGGUGAAUUAUAUUUUCUUCUUCAAUUGAAUUGGUGUUUAUGUUAAAUUAAUGUUGAAGAAAGAUAGUUGCCCUUUUCAGUAAUAGCAUGAAUUUGGAUCACCUUUAGUCAUUAGUCGCUGUUGGUACACGGUCACUGUCGACAUAAUUAGUUUGUGUAAUAUCAGUAAGCCCGGAGUCAUUCUGCAUUUCUGCUGAUAUUAUUAUUAUAUUUUAAAUUCCAAUUGCAGCCUUUAUGCUUGUUUUAUAAAAUUGGAAAUAAUUAGUUCAUAGUCUGGGAUAGUAUGUCCCUUGGUAUUGUACUAUGGUUUGAUACAUUUGUCUAUUUCUGGUAGUGGAGUGGACUGUUCCAGGAAUAGAUAAUAUCAUAUGAAUACUAAGCUGGCGUCUGAAUCUUGAUGCCUAAUAACAUUUCAGCAUCAAAUUAUUUUGCUUUUGCUGAAGUGGAGGUUAGUUGGAUCUACUUGUUCAUUACAAGAUGAACUUUUAAACUUCCAAAAUUGGGGCUGAGUACUUACUUAUGAGGCUUAUACUUGUCCAUUCACUAAUUGGUCAGGUUGGUGCAAAUCAGAACUCAGGAGAGCUGAUGCCUGAUGGUGAGUUCAUAAGGUCAGGGUGUCCUUAUAUUUACUAUUGCUUUAGUUUCUAGGAUUUGAGUCUUGCUAAAGUGGGUUGCCCAUGUCAUUUCACGAUCCUUAGAAUCUAAUAGUCGCGUUUGAAGUGUGUGAUCUAUAGAUAAUGCACUUGAGAUUUGGGGAUAGUUUCACUUAUUUAUAAAUUUGAUUAGUUUCUAGACUUUAGCAUAUAAUUGGUGAAGUUUUAGAUGGUGCAUUCUCCCAAUAUUACAUUUACUGAUUUACAUUCUUAAUUGGGAAAUUGGCUGUAAUCUUUGCUUUGUUAUUUGACUGAUCUGCGGCUGCUAAUUGUAGUUUUAUAUGGGGUUAUAUUUUUAUUGUUCUCGUUAUAAAUUGACAUUCUUUAGAACGUUUUUUUAUUUUUUAAAAUCUCAAAUUGCUUCUUUUGCAGAAGAUAAAAAUAAACUGAUCAACUCACAUUUUUCCUUUAUUUUUUGAAUAAAAAUGAGGGUAAUUUGAGAUUUUGAAAAGUGAUGAUUUGAAGAUAGUUAAGUCUCACAAUUUAUGUUUUAUUCUUUUCUUUUUCUAUAUUGCAAUCUUAUUGGACUGAUUUUGUUCAAAGUUGUGCAAAAGAAGAUUAGGUUGAUUAGCAUUCCUAAUCAAACUACUCUUCUUACUCAAUUGUGCUACUCUUGACCUUUUGCAUUUGCCUAGAGGGUAGCCAACUUGUCUUGAGUUCAUCACGCCUGAUUUUAGCCCAUAACGCUGCCAAAGCGUCCUCACAUGGUGGACUCGUUGGAACUUGGAACUAGGAAACAUGGAAUUAGUAAGUUCCUGCCACGCGUCCAAUGAUGCCCAAGUCUAAUCUCAACAAAAUUUCCGCCGUCGAUUGUAAUUGUAUUAGGAAUCUGGUCCACUCUAUCCUACAUGCCAACCCAUCCAUCAACACGUAGCCCAUACCUUAGAAAAGGAAAAUGAAUCCAACGGCCUACAAACCGCCCAUAGGACCAGCUGUGCUCGUUAGAUCGAGAUUAGAAUCAAAACUAUUUUUCUCAUGGCAGCCAAGUUAGCAAAUAUCAACACUUCCUAUUUGUUUAAAAAGCGCAAUCCAAAGUCUCUCCAAAGAAGCCAAAAGAAAAAAAGAACUCACCGUAUAUGACUUUCUUCUCAAAUUUAGCCCGACUUUACUUGAUCACUCCCAAGGUUAUUUUCGUACUUGCAUAAAAAUUCACUUCAGCACAUCACUUUUUUCACUUUUUCCUUAACACUCUACUUGACUGUAUUAAAUUUCAUUUUUAUUUCACAUGUUAUGUCCAGUUAAUUGAUGUGUUGUUAUGUGUGUAUUGUUUGUUAGGAAUUCUGAGAAUUCAAGUGCCAUGAGAGGCCAAAGCAACGGUGGUGUGAGAGGUUUUGCUUCACCAGAUAGGGGUGCGCACGAUAAGAGAGGUACCCGUCACAACAAUCACAACCACCACAACAAUGAUUAUAACAAAUCAGGGGCAUCAUCGGAAACAGCUCAUGAUAGCAAGAAAGGUGGAUCCUCUUCCGCUAGUGGCGAGGCGGCGCCACCCGUGUGGCCCCCGAAAUUUGUGAUUGCUUUAACCAACAAAGAGAAAGAGGAAGAUUUCAUGGCCAUUAAAGGGUCUAAGCUGCCACAGAGACCCAAAAAGAGAGCAAAGUUUAUUCAACGCACAGUCAAUGUAAGCUUUUCUUAUUCUUUCCUUGUUUAAUCCUUCAUGAUAUCUAGACUUAUCUACGAUGUUGUUUUAGUUAUUUUAGAAUUUAGAUUUAACGAAUUUGAUUCUAGUUGCAAUUUAAUUAUCGUGAAUAAUCAUCUGUAGGAAUAUUUUAUUGGGGUACAACAUUUAGGAGCACAAGGUACAAUAGAUCUCUUGCGGCCUUUUGAUGAUAUUUUGGGAUGGGACACGGUUUUUAAGAAUGUAGCUGUUACUACAAAUAUGGUUGCUGGGUCGGACCCUGAUUUAUGUGAAACUAUGAUCUACUUUAUUAUUAUUUUUUUAUUAGUCUUCAAUUUUUGUUUUCGCUUAAAAAUAGGGCUGUGUGUAAAGUGACCAGUGAGAUAUACAUGUCCACGUGUCGGUAAAGGCGUGGACGUGUACCUAAAAAUGACCUGUAGUAACGUUAGCCUCCCAGUGACCGAGUCCUGGUUUGGGUGCGGGAUGUAGAAUAAAUUAACAAAAAUCUGGGGUGGGAAUAUUACCCUUGCCCGAGUUUUGUGCUUUGAUAAUCAAAUUUCUCUUGAUUUAGUCGGAAAAUUCCAUUAAAGUAAUGGUACAUAUUUUAAAUCUUUUGUUUUUAAAAAUUAUUCUAAAUAAUGUGGCAUUCCGUAAUGCAGUAAUUCAUACUUUACUUCGUGGGGGAGAUAAUUGAAUAACAAGAGACAAUUGAGUUGUCAUUAAGUUUUUUCUGUUUUUGAUUUUUUUUAUGUUUAUGUUCCAAUUUAUCAAAAUCAAAUAUUCUUACGACCAAUAAGAGUUACUUAAGUCAAGAUUUUACCGUAAGAGAUUAUCACGGUAAUACCGCAAUUUUGAAUUUAUUUUACUUUUCUUGGCUACGGGGAGUUCUUUUUUUUUUUUUUUAAAGAAAGCGUUGAAAAUGUUGGAUAUGUGGAAAUGAGUAAUAAUAGAGUUAUAAUUACCUUCUAUAAGUAAGUGUAUAUAAAUCGAAGUGACGUGACGGAAUUAGUUAUAUAAAAUUAUUAUGGGUUUAUAUAAUUAAAAAUUAAUUAUUAUUAUUAUUAUUUUUAGCUAAUUUUUAUCCGUCAUUAAUUUGUAUAAAUUAUAAAAUCAUUCGUGGGUUUAUCAUUUUACAAGAAUAUGAGGGGGUAACAGAAGGAUAAUUUUUAAAAACGUUUGAGCUUGUUGCAAGUAGAUGGCGAGAAUUAGUUUAUUUGUAAAAAAUCUCCUACCGUCAAUUAAUUUUAAUAUUGACCGUUAGUUGACUGUGCAAAGACAAUAUUAUCCUUAACAAUAGUUUGUAGACGGAAAUAACUAAAAAAAAAUUAAAAUUAUUGGUUAUUUUACACUCUUUAAAUUAUUGAUAUUUUUUUAAAGUUUCUACAAAAAAGAUAAAAUUAAAAACUUGAAAAAUUUUCUUUAAAUUAUUGAUAUUUUCUUAAAGUUCCUACAAGAAAGAUAAAAUUAAAAACUUGAAAAUGAAAUAGUCAUAAUCUUUACUUAUGAUAUUAUAAAUCUUUGGAAUUGACAAGGAUAAUAUUGUUAAAAAUAGGGUUUGUGCUUUUCGCGCCAAUAAUUUUAAUUUUUUUUUUAGUUAUGUCAGUCUAAAAACUAUUGUUAAGGGUAAUAUUAUCUUUGUACAGUCAACUAACGGUCAAUGUUAAAAUUAACUGACAGUAGGAGAUUUUUUACAAAUAAAUGAAUUUUUGUCAUCUACUUACAACAAAUUUAAACCUCAAGGAAAGUUUUUAAAAAUUAUCCGGUAACAGAAUGCCUUAAACGUGGUACGUGGGGUCAACAAGGACGUGGUAGUACAGAGCUGGAAACUGUAUUUUUCUCUUGGUUUUAACUUUUAAACAUUAUGAGUGUCUCAGAUUGAGAUGGAGGGAUCAAUCUGCAACACGUGUACGAUGGCGAUUCAAUAGACAACACAAACUUAUCAACGAAGUAAGGUCCAAAUACUCACCAAAGGUAAUAAUAUUCUUCGUAAAAGUUUAACCGACGGAAGCGGAUGGGCCCUUUGCCCAUUAUUGUGGGGCAUUUCCGUAAUAUGGACAUUGCUUUUUGGUGAAUUAACUUUUCUUGUCUCUAAUAGUUUUUAAUGAUUAAUUUUCUCUUUAUUGAAAUAAUAUUUAAGAAUAAUUUAUAAUAAACAAUGGAGGUGGUUUCGUGACUCUUGUAGUGGUCCUCCAGGCUGGACCACACUGACAGUGCGUGGAGAGCAAAGAUUGCACGUAGUUUUUCGUCCAUAACUUUCUUAAACGCACGACUUGUAGACGAUUCUUUUUGCAAGUAGUUUUUUUCUUUUUGAGGUUGCAAGUAUCUUCUUGCUUAUGGUGGAAUUAUUUUUUUUUACAAAUUAAUUGAAAUCAUAACUGUUUUAAAAAAGCACAGGAAUCUCUCUUUAUUGCAUCCCAAUCAAAAUCAAAAUCUGAAAUUAAAGGCCAAAGUUGCAUUGAGUUUAUGUUUUUCUUUGCAGCUGGUAAGUCCCGGUGCAUGGCUAUGUGACCUGACCCUUGAACGUUAUGAAGUUAGAGAGAAGAAAAUCUCCAAGAAGGUACUUUUUGUAUUACAACUCCCCAAUUGGAGAAGCAUUUACAUUAAAAAUUAAUGGAGCAUAAUGUUUGUAUCGGGGAUCUAAUCUGAUGCAGAGACCGAGAGGAUUGAAGGCUAUGGGUAACAUGGACUCAGACUCAGAGUAGAGGAAGAGGAAGAUGAAUAGCUGUUGAUAGCUGUUGUUUUUUGUUUGUUGAGAAUAUGACAAAAUGUUGCUACCCUGUAAAUCGUUACCUUUCGUCCCUCCCUCUGAGAUGAAUGAAAGGAUAAAAUUUUAGCCAUAUCUUCUCUCUUCUCUCUUCUCUCUUUCUCUCUUCUCUCUUCUCUCUCUCGGUUAUUUUAUUAUUAUUAUUAUUAUAGAGGCAUCAGGCAUCAACACCUGUUUUUGUUUUGCUUAUAUUUUUCUUUUGUUUCAGCUUUAUUUAGGUGCUGGUUGACUGAGCUGGUCACGCUUUAGGCCCAGUAGUGGGCUACGUCCAUUUUGCUGGUUAACAAGUUAAAAGCUACUUUACCAACUUGGUAUAACCUGUCUAAAGUGGGAGUGACGAAUGUGCCACUAGCUUUGCUUAUAGACAAAGCAAGGCUAUUUUCGCACAUUACAAGAUGGUUGAGCUGAAGUUCAUGAAUAAGCUCAUUGGCUACUGGACAAAUAUGGAGUACUAAUAUAAAUUAUUUCUGCACAUUUUAUUGUGCAAAUUAAUACGAAGAGACCUACAUCAAUUAUUUUUUAAGUUAAAAAAUAAUCAAUUGCACAAAGCGUGCAACAAUAAUAUAAAGGGUUUCGAUUAUGUUGGAGUUUACUUACAGUGGUGUGUGAACUUCAGUCAUACAAUAAUAUAUAAGAGUUUGAUUAUGUUGGAGUUCACUUACGGUAGAGCGCGAAUCUCAAUCAUACAAGGAAAGUGAUGAAUAAUAAAAAAUGAGUUAUUUUUUUAUUAUUUAUUAUUUUACGUGUAAUUAAAAUUCGUAUUUUACCGUAGGUGAAUUCCAACAUAUCAAUAACCUAAUAUAAAAUGUCAUCUCAAACUGUAUUAAUGGAAUAAUUAGUGCUUGUUAAAGAGUUUAUAUUUCUAGAAUUUUUGAUUUAGUAUAUAAUUAUGUAGGGCAAAGCAAACGGGAAUCAACAAUUACGUGGUAGGGUCCACAAACCAACUAUAAUAUUCGUACAAGCUAAGCAAAUGUUGGGGAACUCCAGGUGGGGGGUUGGGUGGGGGCGAAUGAAAAGGGAGAACAACCUCAGCUCACCGGUCAAAUAAUACGUUGCAAAUCACGCUUAGCCAUUGAUUACAAAAGGAUGGUUGGGCCGAAUGAGUCAAUUUCGCAAAGACUGCCUUGUCCAACAUAAACUUUUCGAAAAUCAUCAUUCUGGCGACUUCUUCCAAGGCAUCGCCAAGUGUAAUGAUAUACCCCUAUAAACCAACAAAUUGAAUCAUUGCACAUUUGAUCCCCCUGUUGUUUUCUGUUUCACGAAGGUGCCACAGACCCGAUGACUUGGACUUGGAAUAAUUAAAAAAAGGCCAAAAAAAAAAAAAAUGUUCCUGUUGGUCAUGUUAAAGGCACAGAUUCCCCUUCUCCUCCAAUUCUCUCAUUCAUUGUCCUUUCGCACAAUUGCACAUGGGAAUGGGAGUGCAGAAGCCAAGGAGUAAGCGUGUCAGCUGUGCCUUGCCACUUGGGACUUUUUUGUUUAGGGAAGAUACGAAUUACUGUUUACAAGUGCAUUACUUUUACUUAUCAUCGAUUCUUGUGGGAAAUGUAUUUCCUCUUCUGUCGUCCGGCGAACGCGAUUCGAGUGAAAUAAAAUUAAAUUGAUUUACAUAAAAAAAUUAAAAGAAAAGCGGAUAGUGAAUGAUAUAUAACAUAACAACAAAAGGAAUAGCUUAAUAUAUACUGAUAAUAAUCAUAAGUCUCCAAAAUAACAAACAUAAAUCAAAUCAUAUCAUCACAUCUCCGUGAGCUACAAAGCAUAACUGAUAACUCUCUCUCAUUAUAAAAUUUAUAUGUAAUAAGACUCACUCCCUAAAAGACUAAAAACCCAGUGGAUCCGCCGCUACUAAGCCCACAUAACGUCUAAACAACGCAAAAAAAGAAAAAAAAAUGAAGAAACCACUCUACACACCCAAUAAGCUAGUGACACGUAAUCAGAUAGAGAACCGGCCUCUUAAACCCUGAGAACUGAGCCGAACACCAGAGCGGAAAGGAGAGCGACACCAGCGGCGGCUAAGGAAGGCGAGAUCGAGCCGGCUCCGGAAGCGGGAGCUGGAGCGGGAGAGAGAUCUUGAGCCGACCCUGCGAGAACCAAGGCGGCCAGGACAACGGCCAUCAUCAGCGUAGCCAUUGAAGCCUUUGAGAAUGCCAUUAUUGAAGCCUUUUUUUCUCAGGGUUUUUGAGAGCGUAACCGAAGGAAGCUGAGAGAGAUUCUUUUUCCUGUGUCUGUAUGUGGGAAGUGUUAGUAUUUAAGACAUGAGAAGAAAAUAGUGAGGUUUAUUUAUAGACUGAAAAGUGUGGACGGGAAGAGAGAAUUUCGGGCAGCGGCCCGGAUUUUUCCAGUCUGUCUAUUGGUUUCUUGACAGCUAUGUUUAUUUGUGGGGCCCAGUUAAUUAUAAUUUCACGCGACCGUUUAGGGUAUCGAACGGCGAAGCGACGUCGUGUCGGUUCACGAGUGUGACUUACGCCGAGGAAAUAAUUGAUUCUUUGGGAUUGGGAAAAAUUUGAGCAAAGUAAAAUUACGGAAACAGCAGCGAAUUAUAAUAUCGCAGUCUGUGAUAAACUUGAUAACUAUCUACUUGAAUUGAUAGGACAUAUAAAAAGAACAUUGUAUUAUUUAAAGGAUUGAAUAAUUUAAUUGAUAAAAAUCUCUUACCGCUAAGUUUGGAGAUCCAUUUGCACUCAAAUUUGGUGGAGGAAAAUUUUGAUUUCAGUUGUGUUAUGUUAUUAACAAAAAUUAUUGUUCAAAAAAUGCCUUUUUGUAGCUGCAAUAAAUGAGAAAAUUUUAAAGUACUUUUUUUUUAUUAUUUAUAUAAAUUGAACGAAAUCUUGGUGUGAUUAUUUUGUAAAUUCUCGAGAACUUUUGGGGUGGGGUGGGGGAUUUUGUGUAUGAAUGUAUGAUGAGUUCAUUGAAGAGGCGAAUGUUUAAUGGUGGGAUUGAUGAUUAGGGAUCAGUGAUGGUGCAGUUGAUUCCGCUACAAAGAUUUUUGUAAGCGCCCACAGACAGCCCACGUGGGAUGCGGUGGCUCGACCAUUAGGAGGAGGACGCGUGGAGACGUGGAAGGGCACGGGCUUUUUUAAUAUUCGAAUUUUGAAUUUGAAUAAUCGGAUGUGGACCUGUGGACAGUAUGAAAUGAUCGUGAAUUUUGUGGGUUUCCAGAACUUUCCGUUUGGCGUGUGCGACUGUGUGUUCAUUGGCAGGCACAUGUAGGAGUGUUACGAAGUUUACGCGUUAAACGUAUGCGGAAAGAAAAUGGUUUAACUUUGGGUAAAUGUUUAAAAAAGGAAAUUUCAAUCAACGCUUCUUCUUCUUCUUCUUUUUUUUUUUUUUAUUCCAUAAAAGAAGAUCUUUAAUUUCUGUAAUUAUAUCAUAAUUGAGUCCAAGAAGAUCUGGCUGCAUUGUUGUAAUUUUAUUUAGUUAACCAUAUAAAUUUGAGUCCCGAAGUUAAAAACUUAAUUUUAAUUUUAACUGCUCUUCCAUCUUCUUUUUGUUUUUGUUUUUGUUUUUAAAUGAUCAUGAAACACCUCUUCUCAUUAAUUAAUGUAGAAAAAAAAAGGUUUCAACCACUCCUACGUAUAUUAGCAUGAUUUCUUUUUUAAAUAUUAUUUGAUUGGUAUCAUUGCAAAGUUAAUUUAGAUUCAGUAGUUUAUUUUGGCUAAAACAUCAUAUAUUUAAGAUGCAUCAUCAGAAAAUUGAUUUAGAGUCACCUAAUUUUGAGCUCAAAUAUUAUAUAUUUGCACUCACAAUCAUAUAAUUGGUUUAGAUUUAAUCUGUUUUAAGCUCAAAUAUGUAGCUAUCACAUAAAUAAUUUAGAAUGUUACAAUAUUCUAAGGGCGUGGUCGGGUUAAUUAUAGUGCAGUUGUAGCCUCUACCAAAAUCCGGGUUCGAUUCUUAGAGAUCAAGAUUAUGUUUAGGCUCGCCCACCUCCUCUUACUUUAAAAAAAAAAAAUUUAGAAGGUUACUAAUAUUUUUUUAAUUAUAAAUAUCAAUAUAUAUUGUAAUGUAAUAUUCUUUUUUUUUUUAAAAAAAAAAGGUCAGGUAGAAUUGAUCUCCCUCAUACCAAAUUUUGUAAAAAAUAAUUUAGGUUAUGCCGAUUCAUAAGAUGAGGGGUUCAUAUAGUUUAGUUCAGUUGAUAAUUUUUUUUUUUUGGUUGAAAAAAGAGAUAUGAGAUUUAAAAUCAGUUUAGGUGAGCAAGGACGGUUUUGGGUUGUCACCGAGCUAAAUUAAAAAGGAUUAAUGAGAUGAGACGAGUGGUUUGUUAAAAAGAAUAGUGCCACAUAUUAUAAAGUUUGUGUCAAAAAAAUUCAUCCUAUAAAAGAAGAGACACUCCUAAUAGGCAUGAAAAAAAAUACAAUAAAUCGUUUUAAAACAUAACUGUGACUAGAACAUCCCCUUGUGAAGAUAUAUUUUUUAUUUUUUUAAAAAAAAUUAUUUAAAUAUCUCUAAUGUUCAUGCAACAAAUACGAUGAAUAGUCACAAGGGCAGUCUAGAAAAAGGCAUUUACAAAUACACGGCGGGCCAACAAAGAAUCAUUCACCUUCUAAUCCUUCGAUGUCUGCUUGCAACUCAACUAAACUAACAGCAUUCCAAAAUCAGCAAGAAAACGAUUUAAGAACUUAUUUUGGAAUGCUAUUAGUUUUUAAGGAUUAAUGAGAUGAGAUGAGUGGUUUAUUAAAAAGAGUAGUACCACCUACUGUAAAGUUUAUGUCAAAAAAAUCCAUCCAAUAAAAGAAGAGACACUCGUAAUAUGCAUUAAAAAAAAACACACAAUAAAUCAUUUUAAAACAUAACGUGAAUCAAACAUCACCUUAUGAAGAUAUAUAUAUUUAAAUAUCUCAAAUGUUCAUGCAACAAAUGCGAUGAAUAGUCACGAGGGCGGUCGAGAAAAUGCGUUGACAAUUACACGACCGGCCAACAAAAAAAUCAUUCACCUUCUAAUCCUUCAGUGUCUGCUUGCAACUCAACUAAACUGAUAGCAAUUAGCAUACCAAAAUAAGCCAAAAAAAAAAAAAAAAAAGAUUUAAGAAUCUUAUUAUUUUACUCGUUAAUAUUGCUAAGCAUAUGGCAGCCCUGGGCGGCUGUGGAGUGCAGCCUGGCGUUGGAUUUGCUCACAGACAGGACCUGUAAGGCUGAAACAACACGGCAGCAACAAAGAAAGUAGUUUUAUUUACGUAAUACAAUUUUUUAUACCUUUAUUUUUUAUCUGCAUGAUUUAGUUCUUACACAGACGUGCUAACGAGAAUCAUCCAGUAGCUGGUGUCACUUGUCAACUACUCCUUAACUUAAAGAGCAUAUUUGGGAUUGUCAAGUAUUCCCAAAUUAGUGAUUAUUUGAGAAUUUGUUAUCACAUAUGGUUGGUUCGAGUUAUUCUCUCAGACAUAUCACACCAAUAAUCAUCAAAUAAGUGAGAAUCAAACAAAAUUUGAAAGCAAAUUCUCAAGUAAUUGGUUAGAUUGUAUGAAAAUUUGACUUGUGAAUAUCAAGUAACCUCAGAAUUAGAAUGACUGUAAUGUAUACAUUGGCAUUUACUAUUUACUAAUCACCAAUCAUAGCUUUCUAUUUGGCUCAAUGGCUGAGUGCAAAUCCAGAUGAGCAUGAAAUUCAAAUCAACUCAAAAACCGUUAGAGAAAACAAAAUAUCUUUGAAGUAGUUAUCACUUCAUUAUUAUCAGUAGGAUGAAAAUGAUCGAAGUUAAAAACGUCCAAAAUUAUUAAAUUCAUUUAUCUAACCUGAAUAAUGGACACAUAUACCACGUUGGCUGUCAUUCCUCUGUACAUACAAGAAUCUCACUGUAUCAUCAAAGAGGCUAAUCCUAUGUAACAGUCCUCUCAAUUCGUAUUAUGCAACACGUCUAUCCGAAAAGCUCCUAAUCAUCUUUCUUCCUCGGCUAUUACCAUUCAUUCAAAAGUCAACUCAAAAGGUAGACAAAUUUAUUUGUUAAAAGCCCAAAACUUUAGAUGAUAUAUUCAUCAGAGGUUGUAAAGCACUCGGUGCAAAUUUUCUUCCAAAGAGAAAGCAAACUGUAGAGGGCUGGUUAUUGUAUUUGCAAUGCUGACCUCCAUAAACUUUCUUGAAAAACUCCUCUGUUAUGUCGGCUCUUCCGAAUGUGGCUGGAUGAGCACCACCUCUCGACCAAUCAACCCAAGUGCUGCUUCUAUUUGCCAAGAGAUUUGGCAUUUGAAUAGAUAGCAUGGUGGGAAAAUAGUGUUCGUCCACAUAACAAGGUGGUCUACAGAAUUCCGCGAAUUUUGGAUAAUAUGUAGUAUCUUCCACAAUGUUGACUGCAAGCCUUCGGUUGAUUUCAAACCAUUGGGAUCCUUUGCGCCACUGGGUAAUGUUCACCACAGGUGCCAUGUUCGCAUUGUAGCGUCCUCUCCCAUAUGGUCCAGGGUCAUCAAAUGAACCCAUGAAACUAUGUUUGGAUUUCUUUAUGUAAUGGUAGAUGAGGGAGAAAUUAUAAAGAGGAAUGCAAGACUCAGAGACAAGAAUGAACCAUUCAUUGGAGAUAUCAAGCAAUGCAUUAGCAAGGAGUCUUCUCUCAGCAUCGCACAUGCUCAUUUUUCCCCAUUCAGAGAUCUGCAAAGGGAAGAUACAGAAGACAUUACAAUCUCCUCUAAAUUUUGGGAAAUAUUGUAUUCAAAGCUAUGUGCUAAAGUAAAUAGAAUAAGCAGAUAAAGCAUAACCAUCAAAGGCUUUCAGAAGAAUGCAAGACAGUUCCACUACCAAACACUUCACCUAGAACAUGUAAUGAUAACAUUUGGUAAAGGUAAUCAUAAAACCUGUUAUUUUCCAGGAUCAAAGGGUAUCAAGUAUCAAUUUUACAUUUGGGACAGGAUUAUGGUAGCUGCUUGUUGUUGAAAUGGCACUGUAGCAGAGCUAACCAAAUCAGAUCUCCAUUUCUUGGAGGAUUUGUAUCCUGUUCCAGUUACUACAAGGGGGCAACUCAAGAACAUACAUGUCUUCCUACUUGUCCAAUACAAAAACGUAGGGAGAAAAAAAAAAUCAAAUAAAACGCACUUCGUCGAGCCAAUAUACAUACAGACAGCUCAACCCUCCCCCUUGGUGUUUUGGGAUCCAAAAUUUUUCACCUCCACACGAUAUAUGGCAGUGGUUACCAGCCUUAGAUAAACUUACACUGUUGCAGUUCCCAACUUUCAAAAUUCAACCCAAAAAAUGACCGACUCUUAUUGUUGAUCAUUCACUCAAACCCAGUUUUGCUGGUGAAAGUUAUAAUGUAUGCCAUCAAAUUAAUUAGAAAAUGUUUGCCAAGUAACAUUCAAGAAUGCCACCAUGUCAUCUAUGGAUUGUCCGCUCCUGCUAGAUUCCUCGCAAUUUCUCAUGGACUCCAAUAAUCCGUAAGGCAAUCAGGGGAAAAAAAAAGGAGCAAAAUUUUAACUUGGCUAAGCAAAAACAGAAUAUAUUUAGUUUAUAAACAGAAUCUGUUAAUCAGCAUAUUCCUAUUCAACAGAGUAUUUCUAGACUUUGAUCGUGAAUCACCAUGCAUAUAAAAGUGAUGAUGCUAAAUGGGAACACUACUUUCUACUUUCAAACACCAAGAGCCUACAGAUGACUGAGAGGUCCUAAGAACUGAAGAUUGUUAAACAAAAUUCGGAAAGCUAUGCAAGCAUGCUAACACUAUAUAGAUCCUCAAAAGAAUAAUUCACAUUAUAGGUAAAAAAUAAAGUACUGCUCAUCAUCACUCAAGAGAAGAAGAUCAUAACUUACAUCGUCAUAUAAUCAAUAGUACAACAAAGAUGAUCAGAUGAAGUUUCCACCAGAAUUUUAAAUGAAUAAAUAAAACCUGCAAUAGAUAGAUAUAAUGUCAGGCAUACCUGACUUGGGAUUUGUCUGUUGUAAAAAACUGAUGAAGAUGGAAACUUGUUCUCGAAUGUUGGCAGAGAAUGAACAUAGAUAGAAUAUAGCCCUUCAUGCCCCUUGAAAAACUUCUCCCAAAGAGGUCCAAGAGGUAAUGGCCCCUUCGUCAAGAACAUAAAUGCAAUCUUUGGAACUCUCUUAAAGGGAUACUCCUUCACUCGAGGCACAAAUGAGGCCCUCCAAAAAAGCUCCUUAUCACUCAUUGUGUGCAUUAAAUUUGAUGGAGGAUUUAUCCAAUAAUCCAAACCAUUCGGUAGUUCAGGGCAUGCCACAAAACUGGACUUAACCGUUGUCACAACACUCUGGACUCCAAACCGACGAACUGAGUAUAUACUAAUCAACGAAAAGGCUAUACACAGAGCCAGAAACAAACCAAAUAACUGAAAUAAUCUCAGUGGCAAGGCCCUAAAUUGAUUUGUCUUGUUAACAACUGCAGGGUCUUUGCCUUCCUCUAGCGGAACAACCCUUGCUUGCAUCUUUAUAACUCUAAAUCAAAUCAAAAUUUCACCUUCUGCGUCAGAUCCAAAUCAACAUCCUAGCAUCAAAAGCACUACUAAGCCUCAAAAUACCAGCUAAUUUAUUCACCAGAGCUAGCAAAAAAAACAGCUUUUUUUAAAUAUUUGAAAUUUGUGGAAUUCAAUAUGUUUCAGCAAAACAACCCCACUUAGCAACAGUAACGAAAUUAGAUCUAGAGCUGACACUACAGUACUCAAAAAGCAAGUAUUAACAGAUAUAGCACAAUCAUCAGCUUUCACAGCACAUGGGUUUCUUGAAUAAGAAGCUCUUAGCAAAAAUCAAAAGUCCAGAUCGGACUACUUGAUAGUCUAUAGAUCAAACGAAACCAUUAACGUGAUUGGUGGGGUGAUGAAAAACAGUACACGAUGGUGAACGUUCAACAUACCAUGUAAAUUUGUUGGGGCUAUAUGAGGAAACAAAGUUUGAAGCUUUAGCUCGAAUUGCGCCACCAAAGAAGAGAAACAGAACGGUCAAAUAAAUGAACAAAGUUAGGCAAAGAAAAUAAGAGGAGAAAAAGAGAAAAGUCCUUGGGACGCCCAAAGAGAGAGAGAAAAGGAGGUCCAAGAAAGUGGGGAAUCAAGGAAAUUUUGAGUGUGUGUGUAUGUAUGUAUAUAUAUAUAUAUAUAUAUAUAUAUAUAUAUAUAUAUAUAUAUAUAUAUAUAUAUAUAUGGGACUUUGAAUUUGAGGAAAUCACAGAAUUGUAAUUAGGUGAAUUGUGAAAUGUGGAGAAUUCAAAGAAUGUUUUUUGAUUUAACACGUACAGUGGAAGUGUCUGCUUCGUCUUUUGUGGGUUAGCCGUCACCAUGUGAGAGGCGGUUUUUGCAAGGUAAUAAUACGGCAAUGUCUUGCUGUCAUUUUGUAACGUUUUGGAAAACAAAUUUACCCUGAUUCAUUUGCCUUGAUAGAUCCUUUUUUUUUUUUAACCUUUUUUUUUAUAACUUGAAAUAGAAUGAAAUUAGUCAAAAUUUAAAUUUGAAUGAUAUGUAAAUUUUUUUAAAAUUUUUAAAAAUAAAUAUUAAAUUAUUUGUUUUUUAAUUUUAAAAAACUGACAGCCUAUACUUUUACAUUUUUACCCUUACUAAAUUUAAAUGUUGAAUAAAUAAUAUAUUUUUAAAAGAACUUAAAUAUGAUAAUAACAUUAUCUUUUUUUUUAAAAAAGGAUAAUAACAUUAUCUAAAUCAUCUUCAAGUAAAUGAUUUAUGAAAUCAUUCACUUGGCAUAGGGUUGUUCUAACUUAACCAAUGUUUUUUAUUCGAAUCUUGAAAAUGCAGUUGCGUUAAAUACUUAUUGGAAGAGCUUUGACGCCCUAGUGGUCUUACCCAGCUCGAAUUUGAAUUAGUCGAGACCUAAUGUAGUUUCGGAUACCAAAUAGUUUAAUACACGAAAAAAAAAAUUUAUAAAAUUAUAAUAUAAAAAGUUCUUUAAAAUUAUCACAAGUUCACAAUGCUAGUGCGUAAUAUAAGAAAAAACUAACAAGAUACUUGGGAAGUAAAAAAAAAGAAAGAAAAAACUGAACAAAAAUUCUACAAGAAAAGACUGUCAAUGGAAUCAAUUAUGGACUAUCAAAGGCCAUAAAGGAGAUUCAAGAAAUCCUUCGCGUGAAUGUUGUGUCUCAUCAUGAAAAGUAUCUUGCCUUGCCAUCUAUGGUAGGGAAAAACAAAAGACAAUUCUUCAAGUCGAUCAAGCUUCGAGUGCUCAACAAAUUAAAAGGAUGGAAGGCCAGGCUCUUCUCAAGCGGUGGGAAGGAAGUAUUGUUAAAGGCUGUCAUUCAAGCCACUCCUGUUUAUGCUAUGGGCGUUUUCAAGUUGCCAAAAUGCUUAUGCGAGGACCUACAGCGUUGCAUCACAAAUUGUUGGUCGGCCAACUAUGAUGACUCUAAAUGCAUUCACUGGCUUUCUUGGAAGAAUCUUUGCAAGCCAAGGAAGGACGGGGGGCAUGAGAUUUAGAUAUUUAGGUCCUGUUUGUGAUUGAAGUAUGCUGUUAAAAAAAAUUAUAGUUAUAUUAUAAAAAUUAAUAAUAUGUAGUAAAUAUAAAUUUUAAAUAAUAAUUUUGACAAAAUUAUUAAAGAUAUAAUAGAUUUUAUAUUAUACAAGUGAAAAAUCAUAUCAAUCUAAUUUUUAACUUAUAGCAGUUAGUAUUUACUGAACACUUUAGUGCUGUAGCUUAACCUCAAUCUCAAACGCGCUCUUAAGUUCCUUUAAUUAAGCGCUCUUGGCCAAGCAAUGUUGGGGAAUACUACAAGCACCUGAGUCUCUUUUGGCCAAAGUUCUUAAAGCUAGGUACUUUUCCAACACAAACUUCCUAAGUAGCAAAAUCAAAAGCGGCUCAUCUUUUGUAUGGAAGAGUACUCUAUGGGGCCGUGAAGCUAUCAACACUGGCUCAAGAUGGAGGGUUGGCGCUGGUAGGAGCAUAUUUAUUUAUAGAGAUAAUUGGAUGCCAAGUCCAUUAUCUUUUAAACCUAUAUCCCUGAAGACAUGCAUUGCCGAGUGAUUCUAAAGUUUCAGACCUGUUAAUAAAUGGUAACGAAUGGAAUGAGCAGCUAAUAAAGUAAUUCUUAAAAGGAGUCCCCUUGCCACGAGUCCCUACUAAUGACAUUUUAGUGUGGCGUUAUGAAAAAAAGGAGGAUUUUACACAGUUAAGAGUGGUUAUCAAGUGUCCCUUAUUCUCACUCAUCCUAAUUCCCCUUCAAGUUCAUUUGGCUCCGCUAAUUGGUGGUAUCCCUCUUGGCUUUUAACCAUUCCAUCUAAAGUCAAGAUCUUUUUCUGAAGAGCUCUACGCAAUAUACUCCCUACAUCAAAUAAUCUUUUUCAACGAAGGGUAGUGGAUUCCCCACAUUGUCAACGAUGUUACAGUGCUGUUGAGGACACCUUUCAUGUGCUAGUUAGCUGUAAGUUUGCGAUGAAGGUGUGGAAGUUGUCAACUAUGGCUGCUCACGUCACGAAUAGCCCUAAUAUGGAUUUUGCAUUUUUUUUGCUAAGAAUUUGGAAUCUUCGCUGUCAAAAGAGGACUACUAAUCUUUUGUGAUGAUUGCAUGGUCUAUUUGGCACUCUAGGAACAUAGCGCUCUAUCAACAUCAGAUGAUGGAUCCACAAAAUAUUCUUUGUGGCUGAAGCUGUUUUGAAUUCGACACUGCUACUCAAGGCUCCCCAAUUCAAGAGCUAUCGGUCUGUCCAACCGAGACGGAUGUUGGUUGGAUUCCACCAGAGACUCAUUGGUACAAAAUGAACGUUGAUGCAAACACUGACAUCUCUAAUGGAAUUACAAGUUUGGGUGCAAUAAAAAGAAAUUCCAAGGGAGAUUUCAUGGCUGCCUCAGCUCGCAAGAAAUCUUUUCUUGGUGACGUUGAGAUUACAGAUGCUGAGGUUGUCCUACAAUGCAUCAAGCUGGCGACAGAUUCGGACUUCUCUCCCUUGAUUGUCGAAUCUGACUCGGCAAAUGUUGUUCUUGUUGCAAAAAUAGUAUAUCGAUAUGCUACUUCGAUGGCACAUUUUGAGUGGGUUCCACGUAGCGAAUGUGGAAAAUCUUGUGAGGUUUGGAUUCUACUCCAUGAAAACUUCGAAAGUGUAUAUUUAUGUACUUAAAAUGGUGCUUGGCUGAAUGACAAAUUGUCUCUCAAAGUGCACUCUUGAAGUUGAAAAUUUGAAAGGAAAUGAGUUUUAUCCCACAAGGGAAAAUAAGUCAAGGGAUUUGUGUUUAUAUAUACACUUACCCAUGCAUGAGUAAGAAUUAUAAGGAUAGAGGUUUUCUCCACACGCGCAUGCGCCGGGGGAGGGGGUGUUGUAAAUUCUAGACUUAUUUGGUUAAAUUUGUGUGCGUCCGUGCGUCCUGCGCACGCGAAUAUCAGUCCAAAAUCACCCAAACUUGCAUGUCAAACAAGUUUUUAGAAAUUGUAAUACGCCCAUUAAUUAGCGAAAUUGACACUCUCUGUUAUUAACGAUCUUUGUUUGGUUGGAAGACCCUCUCGCAGACAUUGUGGUACACAUGUAAACUUUGUAUUUGUCCAGCAAGGAAAUGUUUUAAAAAAAAUAAAAAUUGUCGACUAUCAAAGGAACCGAUUCACUCUUAAACUUACAGUACACAAUAUUACAUGCCAAAUUAUGACUAAUUAUGCCUAAUGCAUUAAUAUCCUUUCACAACGGUGAAAUCUGAAGGCCCAAAAAUAUUGUCACUUGUUCAAGCCAAAAUAUUGAGGCCAGAUAAGCACCCUAAGGUCAAUAAAUAAUUAACGAAAUCAUACUAGCUUUCUAAUAAAAUCUAUCGAAAGUAAUAUAAAUUGAAAAAUGAUGGAGCACUUUUUAACCCUAAAGGCCUAAACUCAAAUUCACACCUUUAAGAAUGAAUUAAAAUCUAAUUAAAAAAAAGAUUUUAUAAAAAAAGAUUAUAUAAGGAUGAGUUUAUUAGUUGUACAUGGGUGACUUUUUUGAUAAAUAUAGAAAAUAAAUAAUUAAAUAGAGAUAUUUUUGACAUUAGAAUUUUAGUCGGUUUAUGCAGAAUUUUUAAUUUAGUAAAACGUAAAAAAAGAGGCUUAUUUUAUUCCAUCAAAAUUAUCUAAAAACCUCAUUAAAUCAUAAAAAUAACCAUCUUUAAUUGACUUAAUUAAUUAAGUUGUCAUUUAAUUAGAAAAAGAUACACCCCUUAGUUUUUAAUUCAAUUCGUAAUUAAACAGGAUACGUCUCUGUCAUUUGUGCACAAUUAAUAACAAUGCUUAUCCAGAAUCCUUUUAAUCGGCCUUUAAAUUGAAUAAGAAGAUGUUUGGAAGAAUUUUUUUAUCUCUAUCAUAAAUUGUGAGCAAGAAGAGAGGGCAUAUAACAACUAAGAGAAAAUAAGUACAAAGCACGAAAACCAGCUCUGCACUUUUUUCUAGUUCUUUCAGAUUCUGCACUCCGUUUAUUCCCCUCCCAUGUCAUGAAGAGAUGGGUCUUUUUCUCUUCUUCUUUUUUUUUUUUUUCCUAAUAUAAUUUCUAAAAGAAUUUAUGAACAAACAGGUAUUUAUAUGCACAAUUAAUCACGAGUCGCACAAACCAGUGAUUCCUGGCCACGAUCGUGCGAUAUUACGACAUUGCUGAUUUUUUUUCUUUUCUUUUCGUUGUGAGUAAUUAACAUAUAGGGCCCACCAACCACUGCAUCCCGAGAUUGCGUGCCAAAAUCAUGUAAAUUGAUUUUGGAAGUUUCGGAGCUAAGUACGCGUAGCAUUAUUACUGGAGAACAUUCAGCCUUCAAUGCUACGAGAAUUCUCGGGUUGUUGCACAUUGAUUUUGGAAGGUUGGUGCGCAGAAUGCCAUAGAAAAAGCUCACGCAACUCAGGUAAUUAUUUUUCCACGUGGCAGCUACAUGGAAAAUGAACGGGCACAGACUCCUAAAGUGCCACUAAAAUACAGUCGUAAUAGAUUAUACAAGCAAACGAAAGUUUUAAGAAAAAUGAAGUAUCAUUUCCGCAGCCCCUGCACAGAUUAGGGGAACUGCAAAGACAUGCUUUGACAAGAACAAAUCUCGAUUUCAAUCAUUCAGAAUAUUGACAUGCUGCACAAGAAAUUGAAUUCAUAUAUUUUCUGACCAAUGGUGAGUUGCAUCCCAUGGAUGCACUCCAUCAGCAGAACUGUCAACACACCAUGAUAUUUGUAUCCAGAAGACAAACUUUCCUAAAAAACACAACAUCAUUUAGCGAGCCAUUAAUCAGUUGACUGCUGUUAUGACAGCACUUUAUGCACGUAAUCAGAAGUAGACAUAUUUCGUCAAGCAACUCCCAUACAUUGCAUACUACAUGUAAUCCAGUCAAAUGUUUCUACCUCAUUCACAAGGAACAGUUAGGGCGUAUGUACCAAGAGAAGAGCUUUACUUCAGUGCUUCACCACUUCAAACUUGAAGCGGAGGUUGGAAAUCAUAACCGGGCACUCUCCUUUCUCAUCGUACUCGGCAUAGUCCCCUCCUGACAAGUCAAUGUCUUCAUACUGAGUCCCAGCAAGCUACACAAACAACUUACAGUUAGUUCGACAAAGCAAAACCAGAACAAAUAGAAUUUCUUUUUUUGGGGUCAUAGAGAAUUUUUCCUCAUAUUAAUCUCAGAUUAACGAGAUUAAUUUGACUCAUCAUCAUCGCACAAAUAAAAGAUGGCUUUAGUAACAACAAAUGUCUAUGAGGAUAGAAGCAAAAUGUGCAACAAGAAAAAGCAUCAACAGUAAUUAGAAGAAGAUAUAUUGAUGAUGAAUCUUCUUAGCUGCGGCAAAACAUUAACCCAAAAAGUACCAAGUGCAUUUACAGCUGUCUGCAUGGGAAUGAGAUAGUUAGGAGCACAGUAGAAAAAGAGGAGAAACAUGUGUAAUGCAUUCGCCUGUUCUUAUCGAAUGAAUGCAAGUUACACUUCAUCCAGCUCAUCUUUAAUACAGUUAGUAAGCAAAUAGAAUCUUCAAACAAGGUUUCCAUUCCAAAGUCUGCCCACCCUUCGCCAUUCAAGUCAAGAGUAAGCCGAUAGGAGACUGAGAGAGCAAAAAUCUAUUGUCAUGCUCUCCACCUAAAUAGAGAGGCAGAAACCAUAAAGGCUAAACUAGAGCAAAUAAUCAAACAAUAUGCUAACACAUUAAAGAAAAAGCUGGAAAGAAUUUGUAAACUAAAGAGCUCAAUGUUGAAAAUAUUCACAACCGUGAAAUGCAUAAAAAAGGAUAAGAUGUAUCUUAAAUGAAGAUGGUCAUGCAUAAUCAUAAAUACGAACACUCAACUUGCGCUCUGAUAACACAAUGCAGUGCUCACAAGUCAUUUCCAUCCACCACUUGAAAUAUGUCUAAUGUUUAGUGUUCAAAAACUAUGGGGAAAGGGCAAGAAUAGAAACUUACAGAUUCAACUUUCCAUCCAACACCAAAGACGAAAUCCACAGGCUCAUAACCCCUGCAGUCGAAUAACAUCAAGGGGCUAAAACCCCCAGAUUGAGCAGCUUCCUGGGUCAGUGGUUUACCCCGGCCUGGGAUCAUAGUAACAGUUCCUUCUCUCCCACAAAAUUUGCACUGUGAAGAAAGAUAUGGAGCCAGAAAAUCACCAACAACCAGAACACAGUCAUUUUAUAAAUAGAGUGAAAAAGUUUCAUCUGUAAUAUGUCACAGCAACACUUGAAAAUACAGACAAUAUGUCACGGUCAUUUAUACUACAAGUCUCUAACAGAUUAAUCUACCCAAGAAACUUGAAAAUAUGCAAGAAAUCCAUAGUACCAGAUCCUCAUUCCCACACCUUCAAAGUAAUUACUCAAGCUCAACCAAAGAAACUUAAUAAUUCUUUUUCCAUUCUAAAUCCAAGGCAUCAAAAAGCAUAUAUAGGUCAUUGAACAGAAAAAAAAUACAAUUUAUACUAGAAGUCCCAAGAAAAACUAUAUCUUGAAAGCUUGUCGCAUGCAAGCAAUUUUUACAAGAUAUCAAAAGAGCUGAAGAAUUACAUUCAAAUCAUAAAAAGAAAAGCUCUGAAGUUCACAAAGAAUCAUGAGGAUACAUUAUAGAGUUAUGUUCUAUCAUGAUUCCAUGAACUCGUUCACAACAACAGUAACAGAAAGGCCUUGGUUUUAAGUCCAAGAAAUUGAUUUGUUACACUAUGCUACUGCUAAACAUCUCCAGUUUGACUACAAACAAUAAUAUACAUCUAAGCUCAAAUGGCACCAAUUUUAACUAGCUUGAUGAAUAUAUAUAUUCAAUUAGGGAUCUCUGGUUGUAUUAAAGUUGGGAAUAAGCUAACAGACAAAAAAAAAACAGACUCCAGUGCAGUGUAUUUUGUUCCGUAUUGUGUUGAAAUUUGUGUUUUCUGUCAUUUAACUUAUCCCUAACGUUAAUAUGAUCAGGGAUCCCUGAUAGAAAACUCUCUCUCUCUCUCUCUCUCUCUCUCUCUAUAUAUAUAUAUAUAUAUAUAUAGAUAUAUGUGUGUGUGUGCGCGCGCAAUAGUGAUGUACUGCAACCUAUUUUAAUCUCCACUGCAAGUGUAUAUUACUUGAAACAAUUUACAUUAGCAAUAUCUGGUACAAGUAUCAUGACUACAGACCAUCUAAUUGCAUCAUUUAUCUAAAGAUAAAUGAUUAAAUGAAAUAUGUAACUUCACUAAACUAAGCCUGAGGUACCAGUAUAACAGCUUUUCCUUCACAGUUUGAUCAUUUGGUUAGAGCAUAUAUCUAUUUAAAGUCCUCGCAAUAAGACAAACAAGAUCACUCACAUUUUAAUACAUACACAAAGAGAGGAAGAGAGAGAGGUAUUACUUUUUGAAUGAGAUUUGUGGUUCCCUUGCCUCCUUGAGUAGGAAGAGUUUCAGCCAAGCUCACACAAGUUUCUUUCUGGCUUAGUUCUCCGCAUCCACACUUCAACUACACCUCACAAAAAAUAAACAGAUAAACAUCUAAUUCAGAGAGCAUUGCAAGAUUAAAAUUCAAUUCCAACAUUAACUAACUAGAAUCAACAAAACAAACAUAUAAUAUAAUUUGAUAAGAGUGAUAUACAAUGUUACUGAAAAUCAACUUAUAUGAACAUCCAUAAGCAUAUAUAAAUCAGAUCUGAAAAUAAUAUGAUGAGUGACAGAGAUUGAACUGAAUAUAAUCAUUAUACAUAAAAACACAAACAUACAUAACAGGAGACAACAAAUUUGAACACUUAGAAAAAGAAUCAAAACAAAAAAUCCAAAGCAAAACAAGGUGAAGAGCAUUACUAGAGAUCAUAGUCACAAUAAUCAUCUGUAUUUGAAAAUCAAGUAAAAUGAGUAACCUAAAACCAGAAACCUAAAAAUAAGUACUCGCAUUCAUUUGGUGUACGAGAGAGAGCAAUGAAAACAGAAAAGAAAAAUCCAUACCGAAAUUCAUCCAUUAUGUGAAGCAAAGCGAGCAGUGCAAGAAGUAAAUACGAAGUAAAGAAGAAUCAAGAGCGGCGAAACGGAGGUAAUACUGAGGGAGAGAAAGAGAGGGGACCUUGAAGAAGUAAGAGAAGUUAGGAUCGUCGCAGCCGCCUUGAGGUUGGAGAUUGGUGAGGUUCUCGAGAUCGGCGCUGAUCAUCAGCAUGCAAUUCACCAUUUUCGCUUAGCUUUCCAGUGCCAAAAUAUUCUCUCUCUAUUUUUUCAGCGUGCUGGAUGGACGGAUGGGUUGAGACUUGAGAGAGACAAGGUAAGUGCUCGCCGCUUCGAUCGAGGGAAUUCUAUUAUACGCGCGUGGCUUGGCGAAUGUUGCCCGCCCACGGAGAUUACAUCGAUACGAUAAUUGUUUUGAACGACAUGUCGUAUUUUUCUUGGAUGGUAAACAGACAAGACGUUUAUACUUGGUGAAAAUGCUACAAUUUUGUAAUCGGGAUUUGUAUGACCAACUAGGGUCGCAUAAAGUCAGUAGAGUUUGGUAUACAUGUACAAAUAAUUUGUUACGUGCUUUGUAUCUAAGCUGGAGAUAGUAUUAUGAUUUUAAAAAAAUUUUCAAACGAAAAAUUUUAACGAAAUCUUUCAAUUUUUUAUUUCAUUGUAUUUAACUCUAUAUAUUUCUCUAUUCGUAGAGUACAUUGAAUGUACAAAAAUAGUUAUAACAUAAUUCUUAUUAUUUGUAUUAACAGUUACUCUAUAAACAAUGUUGUUGUGAAGCUGUUAGUUUAAUUAUGUUACUAGUAUGCUGACGUGGCGAGCUGAGCUGGAGUGUGGGCCUGCUGUUAGUUAGAAGCCGUUAUUAUUAACGGUUGAUUCCAAAAACAGAGGCAUGCAUAUAUAAGGGUUGGUUUGUGGCAUAGUUAGCGUGUGAUUUUAAGGGUGAUAGAGUGAGAGAUAAUAAAUUCUGUAAACUAAAGAUUUAAUCUCUGCACUCCAUAGAUUCUUUGUGUAAUCGUCUCCAUUAAUAAAGCUUAAGCCUUCUGCUGGUUUUUCAGCCGUUGAUGUAGGUACCUUGAUACUGAACCACGUAAACUCUUUCUCUGUGCUUGCUUCUUGGUUCUUGGUUCUUGUUGAAUCUUACUGUUGUUAUUUGUUUCUAAUUCUAGUUCUUGGUUGUUCUGAGUUGAUCCUAUUAUGUUAACUAGUUCAAGGUGGUUGCAUUUGUCGAUUAAGCAUUAACAAACUGGUAUCAGAGCUUGGUUCAUUGAGGCUGUUCUUGAUCAAAAUGACGACCACCAGAUUUGAUCUCGAAAGGUUUAAUGGUGAUAACGACUUCUACGUCUGGAGUCUUAAGAUGAGAGCAAUUCUCAUCCAGUAAGGGCUUGAUAGUGCUCUUGAUGAUGAAGAUGAAGAUCCAAAGGGCAAGAAAGAACAUGCAUAGGGCUCAUCAAUAUUAGGAGGAGAUCAGAAAACCAUUAAUAACAAGGCUCACAGCACCAUUAUCCUACAUCUCUCUAAUGAAGUGCUGAGAGAGGUUGCAAAAGAGAAGACUACAUCAGGAUUAUGGUCAAAGUUGGAAGACUUAUAUUUGAAGAAGUCAGUGGCCAAGAGAUUAUAUAUGAAGAGGAGACUGUACACCUUCUCCAUGAAAGAGGGAGUAGCUAUAAAUGAUCAUUUGGAUGAAUUCAAUAAGCUAAUCUUGGAUCUUGAAAAUGUAAACAUCGAUUUGGAAGAUGAAGAUAGGGCACUAAUUUUGCUAAGCUCCCUGCCUGAUUCAUUUGAGCAUUUUGUUGAUACUCUUUUAUAUGGAAGGCAGACUCUCAUGUUAAAGGAUGUUAAAAGUGCCUUGGAAUCAAAAGAUUUGAAGAAGAAAUCUAAUGGGAAAGAUCAAAGCUAUGGGGAAGGAUUAACAGUCAAGUCAAAGGCAAAUAAAAAAAACAGCAAAGAAAAGAAAAAUACCAACCAGAAAGAUAAAAUAGAGAAAAAGAAAAAUAAGAAGAAAUGUUAUUUUUGUCAAAAAGAAGGGCACUAUAUGAAGGAUUGUUUUGAGAAGAAAAAGCUUGAGAAGCUUCAAAAGGAAUCAAAUAGGAAGGUUGCCCUUGUGUCAGAGGAUGAAGGAGACUCAGAGGGUGCUGAUGUUCUAGUAACAGUAGAAAAGCAUCAAAUUGGUGAGUGGAUACUUGACUUUGGGUGCUCUUUCCAUAUGUGCCCAAAUAAGCAUUUCUUUAAGACAUUUAGAAGUAUUGAGGGUGGUAAAGUGUUGUUGGAAAUGACUUAGCUUGUAAAGUUGCUGGAAUUGGAACCAUUGAUAUAAGGGAAAUUAUCAAUCAUAUACCCUUAAAUGACAUCCAUAUCAAACGUGUGUGAACACUUUUCAAGUGUAUCACUCGUAUACCAUAAGUUGACAAAACACUUAUGUCGUCCACCAAUUUGUUAACUUCCGUUAGAAAGUUAACAGAAUUGUGACAAAUUGACUAUUUUGCCCUUGAAACUCAAAAUGAGGUAAAAAUAUAAAUUUACCCAAAAAAUUAACGUAAAUUUUCAAUACACAAUUUUUUUUUUAAUUUUUUUUAUUAACAAUACAUUUUUUUGAUUAAAAAAAUGAAUUAUUAAUGGUACAUAAUAUUAACAAUUAUCCAUAAAAAUAUCCAUAUUAUACCAUAAAAAAUUAUUAACAAUAUAUUAUUUACAAUUAUAUAUAUUAUACCAUAAAAUUUUUUAGUUGGAGCUUGGAAGAGUAGAUCUUCAAAAAUUUAGGUUAAAUUUUGGAGGAGUAGAUUCGGUUGUAAAGUAAUUUUUUUAGUAAUUAUUAAUAAUUAUCCGAUAAAUGGGAUGACAUGUCGUUUUUUUUAAUCAAAGUUUCAUCAAUUUUAAAAGACUAAAUUACCCUUAUGAUGUCAGCGCUUGCAAACGGAAGUUAACGGAUUGGUGGACGGCAUAAGUGUUUUGCCAACUUAGGGUAUACGAGUGAUACACUUGAAAAGUGUUCACAUACGUUUGAUACGAGUGUCAUUUAAAGGUAUAUGGUUGAUAAUUUCCAUUGAUAUAAAAAUAUUUGAUGGUGAAAUUAGAAACUUAGAUCAAGUAAGAUAUGUACCAAAACUUAAAAGAAACCUUAUAUCACUAGGCAUGUUUGAUCAAAUUGGCUGUAGUAUUAGAGCUGAAAAUGGUGAGAUUCAUGUGAUGAAAAAUGGUACUACCAUCAUGAAAUGAGUUAGAAAGAAUGGCUUUUAUGCUCUAGUAGGGUCUUGUCUCUUACCUGGAAUUACAACCACUAUGAGUAAUGAUAAAACCAAGCUGUGGCACAUAAGGCUAGCACACAUAAGUGAGAGAGGGUUAAAAGAAUUAGAGAAACAAGGUUUGUUUGGUGAAGACCACAUAUCCUCAUUAGAAUUAUGUGAAAAAUGUGUUUUUGGUAAAGCUACAAUGCAAAAAUUCAAUACAGGAAGAAAAGAAAUAAAACAGACCUUGGACUACAUUCAUUCAUACCUAUAGGGACCAUCACAUGUUCCCUCUCAUGGUGGAGCUAGGUACUUCAUAACCUUCAUUAAUGACUACUUAAGGAAUGUUUGGAUUUAUAUGUCAAAAUAGAAGAGUGAGGCUCUGAAGAAGUUCAAAGAAUGGUUAACACUUGUAGAAAAUCAGACUGGUAAGAAGAUAAAAAGGCUAAGAACAGACAAUGGACUGGAGUACUGCAGCAAUGAAUUUGAUGAAUUUUGUAAGAGCAAGGGCAUAGCAAGGCACAGAACAGUAAGGCACACCCCACAGCAGAAUGACCUUGCCGAAAGGAUGAAUAAAACCUUACUUGAGAAAGUAAGGUGUAUGAUGUUCAAUACAAACCUAUCUAAGCAUUUCUAGGCUGAGGCAGUUACAACAGCAGCUUAUCUAGUGAAUAAAAACCCUUCAUCAGCCUUAAACUUCAGAACUCCACAAGAAGCUUGGUCAGGAAAACCACUAGAUCUUACUAACCUCAAAAUCUUUGGCUGCAAUGCAUAUGCUCAUGUUAGUUAGGGCAAAUUAGAGCCAAGAGCAUUGAAAUGAUACUUUAUAGGAUAUCCAAAAGGCACCAAAGGGCAUAAGAUCUGGUGCAUACAUGACAAGCCCUCAAGAACUCUAAUCAAUAGGGAUGUGGUGUUUGAUGAAGACUCAAUGCUGCUGUCUAAAGUAGAAAAUGAGGUAAUGUCUACUGGUUCAUAUAGAAAACAAGAUGCUGAGUUGAAGGUGGAGCAUGUUGAUUGCUAUCAACCUGCAGAAAUGACUCUAGAGAAAUCUGACAAGGAGCUCAAAUCCUAUGAGCUUAACAAUUAUCAGCUUGCAAGGGAUAAAGAGAGGAGAACAAUAAAAAUGCCUAAGAAAUAUGGCAUUGCUGACCUUAUCUCAUAUGCACGGAGUGUUACUGAAGAACUAAGUGGUGAAGAACCUAUGAGCUAUAAGGAAGCCAUGUGUAGAAGAGAUAAAGCUAAAUGGCUUGCUGCAAUGAAAGAAGAAUUAGCCUCUCUUAAGAAAAACAACACCUGGAUCUUGGUAGAAAAACCCUUCAAUAAAAGACUAGUAGGCUAUAAAUGGAUUUAUAAGCUCAAGGAUGGAGAGUCUGCUGAUAAACAACCCAGGUACAAGGCAAGACUGGUAGCUAAAGGCUUCACACAGAAAGAAGGAGUAGAUUUUAAUGAAGUGUUCUCACCAGUGGUAAAAAACAGCUCCAUAAGGUUGUUGCUUGCUGUUACUACUUUUCUUGACCUGGAGUUAGACCAAAUGGAUGUAAGAACUGCCUUUUUACAUGGUAACCUUGAUGAAGAAAUCUUUGUGACACAACCUGAGGGUUUCAUAGAAGAAGGGACUGAAGAUAUGAUGUGUUUACUUAAGAAAAGUUUAUAUGGCUUAAAGCAGUCUCUAAGGCAGUGGUAUUUGAGAUUUGAUUAGUUUAUGAGCAGCCGUGGUUACAGCAGAAGUCAGUAUGACACUUGUGUGUACUACAGAAGCUUGACUCAUGACAGCUACAUCUACUUACUUCUCUAUGUGGAUGACAUGCUCAUUGGAUGCAACCAGAGGGAAGCCAUAGAGGAACUCAAAAUGCAGCUCAGCACUGAGUUUGAAAUGAAAGAUUUAGGUGCUGCAACGAAAAUUCUGGGUAUGCAGAUUGUAAGAGACAGACCAGCAAGAACUUUGUUCUUUACUCAGGCUGGUUAUGUAAGGAGAGUGCUCAAUAGGUUCAUCGUGGACAGUGCUAAACCUGUGUUGACACAUCUGUCAACUCAUUUUAAGCUCUCUAAGCUCUAUGAGCCAACAACUGAUGUAGACAUAGAAUAUAUAAAGAAUAUUCUCUAUUCAAAUGCAGUGGGGAGUGUUAUGUAUGCUAUAGUCUGUUCCAGGCAGGGGUGUCAAAAACCCCGCCCGGACCGGAUCUGACCUGAACCCGGCCAAUCCGGUCUGGGAAAAAUCCGGACCGCAUAUACUGAAAAAGUGGAUCCGGGUUUCAGAAUUUAAAACCCGGACAUUUCCGGACAUGGUCCGGGUUCAGCACUAAAAACCCAAAACCCGAACCCGGACCCGUUUUCCGAAUAAACUUAAAAAAAAAAACUAAAACUAGUUACCCAAACCCAAAUCGCAAAACACCUAAAUCCGAAAUCCCUAAUUCCCCAAAUCGCAAAACACCCAAACCCAAAGGCAUAAGCAGCGAUGCUACCACCGUCACCGUUGGCUAGCACCCACCGUCAGUCCGUCACCGUCGCCCCUCGGCAGUCGGCAGUCGGUAGUCGGCAUCAUCUCUUCUCGUUUGGCAUUUACUGACUCGGUUUUGCUCGAUUUUGCUCGGUUGUGGCUGUGACGGGAGUUGUUCGUGCAGCGGCAGCAGCGCAGUGCAGCCCCCUCCGGCGCCGUCAGCGUCAGCGUCUGCGCCACCGUCUCCAACUCUCCAUUGCCACUUUGUCAUCCACCAUCAGUCCAUCACUCUGCCAUCACAGCCACCACUACCAGCCGCAGGUAUUGAUUUUUUUCCUUCCAUAUUUUGUCUUCCUAGUUGCAUUUUUGCCAAUUGCUUCUCCAUUGGUGUUGGUUGUUGCUAUUCGUGUUUAUCUUCGGCCAAUUUUGUGCAUUUUGACCGUAGAAUAUGAGGAAAAUAUGGCCAAUUUUGUGAGGGAUCCUUAUUGCCUGCUCGUAUAAUGACAAUGUUGAUAAGCAGAGAAAAUAAUAAUCACGGGAAAAGCAAUUUUGUGCAUGGUUGCUGACUUAUAGUGUGAGCCUGUGAUUACUGUAACUGUUGCUCUUUUUUUUCGGCCAAAUCCUUUUGCCUAUUUUAAUUUUAUGUUGCUGAUUUACUGUGAGCCUAUUAGUUAUGUAAUCUGUGAGCCUGUUAGUUAUGUAAUGAUAAGUUUAUUCGUGUUUAUCUUCGACCAAUUUUGUGCAUGGUUGCCGACUUGCUGUGAGCCUGUGAUUACUGUAACUGUUGCUCUUUAAAUCAAUUCUUCGAGUGCUCCAGAUUUAUCUCGUAAUGUUGAAGAUAAAAUUGAUAAUGAGGUUGAGGAAAUUUCAGUGUCAACCGUGAAUGAUAAGAAAAGUAAGGAAGAAACUAGAAAAAAGAAGAAAGUCUCCGAAGCUUGGGAGCACUUUACAAAAAUAAUGGUAAAUGGAGAACAAAAGGCAAAGUGCAUGCAUUGUAGUGCAAUUUUAAAAGCAAAAUACCAAUCUGGGACUUCAACUUUGAAUAGGCACGUGGCAAUGUGUUUUAAGUAGAAUCAACCAGACAUAGAAGAAGCACUUCAAGGAAGCCUUAAAGUGAUUAAAAGAGAGGAUGGAACUUGUGGCAUUAGUUAUGGCAGUUUUGAUCAAAAUGUUUUACGGAGUUUGAUAGCAAGAAUGGUUAUAAUGCAUGAGCUUCCACUUACAUUCGUAGAAUAUAUAGGCUUCCGAGAAAUGAUGACACACAUAUAGGCUUCCGAGAAAUGAUGGCACAUGCUAACCCCGUGGUUAAGCCAAUGAGCAGAAACACUUUGAAGAGCGAAAUCUUGAAGUUAUAUCAAAUCGAGAAGGUUAAGACUUUGCAUUUAUUGGGGAAAAAUCAUGGUAGAGUAGCCAUUACUACAAAUUUAUGGACAGCUAGUAAUCAGAAAAAUGGAUAUAUGGUCGUGACGGCCCAUUUCAUAAUGACAAUGUUGAUAAGCAGAGAAAAUAAUAAUCACGGGAAAAGCAAUUUUGUGCAUGGUUGCUGACUUAUAGUGUGAGCCUGUGAUUACUGUAACUGUUGCUCUUUUUUUUCGGCCAAAUCCUUUUGCCUAUUUUAAUUUUAUGUUGCUGAUUUACUGUGAGCCUAUUAGUUAUGUAAUCUGUGAGCCUGUUAGUUAUGUAAUGAUAAGUUUAUUCGUGUUUAUCUUCGACCAAUUUUGUGCAUGGUUGCCGACUUGCUGUGAGCCUGUGAUUACUGUAACUGUUGCUCUUUUUUUUUGGCCAAAUCUUUUUGUCUUUUUUAAUUUUAUGUUGCUGACUUGCUGUGAGCCUGUUAGUUUUAUGUCUCUGUCUCUCUUUUCUGUUCACUUUUUCGUUUCCACACUAAAAUCUGAAAUUUAGUAUAUCUUUGCUAUUGUAACAGCAGAGUAGUGCAAUGUCGGACAAUGUGAAAAUCAAUUCUUCGAGUGCUCCAGAUUUAUCUCGUAAUGUCGAAGAUAAAACUGAUAAUGAGGUUGAGGAAAUUUCAGUGUCAACCGUGAAUGAUAAGAAAAGUAAGGAAGAAACUAGAAAAAAGAAGAAAGUCUCCGAAGUUUUGGAGCACUUUGCAAAAAUAAUGGUAAAUGGAGAACAAAAGGCAAAGUGCAUGCAUUGUAGUGCAAUUUUAAAAGCAAAAUACCAAUAUGGGACUUCAACUUUGAAUAGACACGUGGCAAUGUGUUUUGCAGAAUUAACCAAACAUAGAAGAAGCACUUCAGGGAAGCCUUAAAGUGAUUAAAAGAGAGGAUGAAACUUGUGGCAUUAGUUAUGACAGUUUUGAUCAAAAUGUUUUACGGAGUUUGAUAGCAAGAAUGGUUAUAAUGCAUGAGCUUCCACUUACAUUCGUAGAAUAUAUAGGCUUCCGAGAAAUGAUGACACACGCUAACCCUGUGGUUAAGCCAAUGAGCAGAAACACUUUGAAGAGCGAAAUCUUGAAGUUAUAUCAAAUCGAGAAGGUUAAGACUUUGCAUUUAUUGGGGAAAAAUCAUGGUAGAGUAGCCAUUACUACAAAUUUAUGGACAGCUAGUAAUCAGAAAAAUGGAUAUAUGGUCGUGACGGCCCAUUUCAUUGACAAUUCCUGGAAAUUGCAUAGUCGAAUCUUAAGGUAAUUUGUCUAUAAUUUUUUAUUUGCUUAAUUUUUCUUUUUAGUUUAUUAUUACUUAUAUUAGAUUUUUUUUUCAAGUUUAAAUUGUAAUAUAUUUUAAGUUUGUGUAUUUAAUACCGACUUUUGAAUAUUUGAUAGGUUCGUCUAUGUUCCAAGCCCCCAUACUGCUGAUGCCCUUUGUAAUGAGUUAGUACAAUGCCUAUUGGAUUGGAACGUGGAUAGAAAGUUAUCCUCAGUGACAUUGGAUAAUUGUACCACUAAUGACGCAAUGGUGGAGAAAUUAUUGUUAAUGUUUGAUACCGAUACCUUAAUUUCUAGUGGUAAAUUUUUUCAUAUGAGAUGUACUGCUCAUAUAUUGAACUUGGUUGUGCGGGAUGGGUUGAAAGUUAUAGAAAGUGAGAGUGGAAAGAUUAGAGAGAGUGUGAGUUAUUGGACACAAACACAAAAGAUAUGAAACUUUUGAGUUAGCUGCUAGACAAUUACAAAUUAAUUGUAAAAAAAAAUUGAAAUUGGAUUGUCCUACUCGUUGAAACUCUACUUAUGCCAUGCUUGAAGUAGCAUUGAUGUAUAAAAGUAUUUUUUCUCGGUUGCAACAACGUGAGCCUCAGUAUAAGAGCUUGCCAAGUGAUGAGGAGUGAGAUUUGACAGUCAUAAUGGUGGAGCAUUUGAAAUCAUUUUGCAUAUUAAUGGAGAUGUUUUCGGGUAAAAAAUAACCAACUGCUAAUUUGUUUUUUCCGUUGAUAUGUAAAAUGAAAUUGUCAAUUAAUAGGUGGCGCACUGCUGAUAACCUUGCUAUUAGGAUUAUGGCUGAUAAAAUGGCUGAUAAAUUUGACAAAUAUUGGAAUGAAAUUCAUCCGAUGUUAGUUGUGGCUGUUGUGCUUGACCCAAGAUAUAAGAUGAUGUUAAUUCAUUUUUAUUUUCCAAAGAUAUAUGGUGAUACAGCAGAUGAGCUUAUUGAGUGUGCACAUAAGCUUUGUUAUGAUUUAGUGAAAGAAUAUGAAUCGAAGGCAGUGCAUGUGAGUGAUGGGCAGAAUGUUGGAUUGGAAAUUUCUCAUUCUGAAUCUUGUUCGAAUUCGAAUAAGUAUUGGGAUGUAGAUGAGUUUGAAACAUUUUGAAGCCAAAAUAAACGUGCUAAGGUAACUAAGUCGGAGUUGGAUAGGUAUUUAGAUGAGGAAUUGUUGGAUUCUAUUCCGGACUUUGAUAUUUUAGCUUUUUGGAAGAUGCACACAAGCCAAUAUCCUAUUUUGGCUGAGUUAGCUAAGGAUAUCUUAGCCAUUCCUGUAUCCAUCGUUGCCUCUGAGUAAGCUUUUAGUGCUAGGGGCAGAUUUUUUAGUCUGCAUUGUAGUAAACUUCUUCCUGACACUUUGGAAGCCUUAAUGUGUGCUCAAAAUUGGAUUUGGGCUUCUACUUUUGGAGGUAUAAAGUUAUUUGAAUUAUAUUUUAGUAGUAUUUAUUUGCUUAAAAUGCUUUGAAUUUUAAUGUGUUAUUUUUGUUGUAAGGUGGAGUUUUGGAGGAUGAGAUUUUUACUGGGGAGGAGGUAAUUUCGGAUGAUGAUGAUGAGCCACAAGCGUCGAUGAGUAGCAUGACAUGAACUUUUAUUUAUUUAUUUGGAAUUAGACAUGAACUUGUUAUUUAUUUAUUUUACAUGGGGGUGUUUUGACUCUUUUAUGAACUAUUGUUUGAGUUGUUGAACAUUUUAGGAUUUUCAUGUGUUGUAUUGAUAAUUGGUGUCAUAAUUAUGAACUUAUGAUAUGUUGGAUGUUAUUUAGAUUUAUUGUGUUAUUGAAUUUAAUUUUUUUUAUAUAUAUAGAUUGAAUGAGUUUAGGUUAGAAGUUAGAUGAAUUUUUAUUUAUUAUUUGUGCAAAAAUUGUAUUGUUAGUAUGUUAUAAGUUUGUAUUUAACUAUUUCUCUAAUUUCUCUUUGACUUAAGUUUGAGAUUUAUCUUGUAUUAUGAUACACAAGAAAUGUGCAUGCAUGUUGUAUUGUUGUUUCACUUGUUUGGUGAUAUUUAGGUGUCAUACAAAGACAUAAAAAUGAAAGAAAUUUUUUUUGAAAUAAUUGUUUGCGGGCUUAGAAGCCCGGAAGACAAAACCCGGACCCGGGACACGUCGGGCUCAAGCCCGGACCGGACAUGCAAAAGCCGGGUUUUGUCCGGGUCCGGGUUUCAAUUUUUGGCGUCCGGUUCGGUCCCGGGUUGCACCAAACCCGGACCGGACCUGGGGUUUUGCCAAGCCUAGUUCCAGGCCUGAUAUAGCAUAUGGUGUUGGAGUUGUCAGCAGGUUCAUGGGAAAUCCAGGCAAAGAGCACUGGAAUGGAGUCAAGUGGAUAUUGAGAUAUCUUAAGGGGACUUCUGAUCAUGGAAUUUUGUUUGGGAAAGUCAAUGGAGCCACCUGUGAGGUUGCUGGUUUUGUAGACUUAGACUUUGCAGGUGAUCUAGAUAAAAGAAUAUCCAUAACUGGUUUUGUUUUUACCAUGUGUGGAGGUGCUAUUAGCUGGAAAGCUUCACUGCAGUCAGUUAUUGCUCUCUCAACAACUGAAGCAGAAUACAUUGCUCUAACUGAGGCAGUAAAGAAGGCAAUCUGGCUGAAGGGUUUAGUUUCUGAGUUGGGUUUCAAGCAAGAGACAGUCACAAUUAGCUGUGAUAGCUCUAGUGCUAUACAGUUAAGUAAGAAUCCCAAGUAUCAUGAGAGAACUAAGCAUAUAGACGUGAUGUUACACUUUAUAAGGGAGGAAAUCAGUAGUGGUGUGGUGAGUGUUGUCAAAAUACCUUCUAAGGUUAAUCCAGCUGACAUGCUUACUAAGCCACUACCAACAAUUAAGUUCACGAGUUCUUUGAACUCGAUUGGACUUGGUAACAUGUGAACUAAGUCUCAAAUGCUGAAACAGAGGUGGAGGAAAGCUUGAAGUCAGAAUAAACUAAGGUGGAGAUUUGUGAAGCUGUUAGUUUAAUUCUGUUACUAGUAUGCUGACGUGGCGAGCUGAGCUGGAGUGUGGGCCUGCUGUUAGUUAGAAGUCGUUAUUAUUAACGGCUGAUUCCAAAAACAGAGGCAUGCAUAUAUAAGGGCUGGUUUGUGGCAAAGUUAGCGUGUGAUUUUAAGGGUGAUAGAGUGAGAGAUAGUAAAUUCUGUAAACUAGAGAUUUAAUCUCUGCACUCCAUAGAUUCUUUGUGUAAUCGUAUCCAUUAAUAAAGCUUAAGCCUUCUGCUGGUUUUUCAGCCGUGGUUGUAGGUACCUUGGUACUAAACCACGUAAACUCUUUCUCUGUGCUCUUCUUCUCUUUGCUUGCUUCUUGGUUCUUGUUGAAUCUUGCUGUUGUUAUUUGUUUCUAAUUCUAGUUCUUGGUUGUUCUGAGUUGAUCCUAUUACGUUAACUGGUUCAAUGUGGUUGCAUUUGUCGAUUAAGCAUUAACAGUUGUUUUGCGGUGCUAAUGACUUAACACUAUUUUUAUAGUUUCAGAAUGUUUCUUUUAAGGCAUAUUGGUUGUUAUUCGCUCUAUAGUCUAUAGAGACAUGUUUUAUAUUUGAUAGGUGAACGACAUCUACCCCGGAGGCGAAUUUGAAGACCGUGCAAGUACGUCUUCUUCGCAAGUCUAGCUAAUUAUUUCGCAUGCAGUUUUCAGUGUUAUGGGCUGUUCUUCGAAAACCCAAAACCAUGCCUAGCAGAUUGCUUGAUGAAACGGUGCCGUUUAACACUUUCAAUAAUUUAAACAUGGAUGUUGAGCCACACACACACACGUAUAUGAAAUGUCUGUUUAUUCUCUUUCUCCUAGCUAGCCGAUGACAAUGAACUCACAAAACAAAUUAAACUUGCAUGCGCACAGUAUGCAAAUUAAGAAGGCGCCAUCUGCAGAAGCCACUUGAAAUGGCACAUGCUGCAUCUCAAAUAUUGAAGAUGCGUCAUGCAUGUAAACUUAAAGCGAAUGAGAGUAGAAAGGUGAAUCAUGCAAAUUUGGUGUCUUCAAAAUUGCGCUCCAACUAAUAUUAACAGCAAAGAAUUUUCCAUGUCACUUCUGUUUGAUUACCAAAAGUAUAUAUGUGCUGCCUUUUAAGGAGUUCUUGUAUAUUCAAUAAUCAUUGUUGUGUAAAAAGAAAAUUAUUCUAACUUCUACUUAAUUGCAUUUAUAUGUUGUGAAUUUAAAAUAAUUGGUGAAAAGGUUCUGUGAUCCCAUGGAGUAUAUACUGGGAUGCAAAGGGUUCAUAAUUCUACUAGGAGUAACUUUUGUAAUAAGUUAUGAGUUUGCAAAGGGUGAGAUAAUCUCCGGACAAAAGAGUUCCUAUAUUGGAAGGAAAGUAAAUCAUCUCAACAGCAACGGCAAUGUAGUGAAAAGCAUUCAGGUAUGUAUAUAUAAAUAUAACUUCUUUGACCUAUAUUUUUAAGUUAUGUAUCAUUGAAACUUCUUGGUCCUUAUAGAGUGAAGAUGGAGAUAUUAUCGAUUGCGUCUGCAUUUACAAGCAGCCAGCAUUUGAUCAUCCUGCUUUAAAGGAUCAUAUUAUCCAGGUACAAGUACAACACUUCUAGUAUUUUCUUUUAAAUAAAAAAAUUCAAUAAUGUUACCACUAUGUAUUUGAUUCAGAUGACACCCACUUAUGAUCCAAAUGGGAAGACAGUGACAACAGGAUCAGCUGAUACAGAAACAUCCACGACUGUUAUGGCAUCACAAAUAUGGAGAAAAAAUGGAAGCUGUCCUGAAGGAACAAUACCAGUGAGAAGAAUUCACAACUCGAAUUCCUUUGAAGGUUAUGGCAGGAAGCAGCCAAGCUUCUAUCAUCGUGUUAAGCAGCUUAAUGAUAUUAAGCAACCAAACCUUCAGCAACCAAAUCAUUCAGUAAGAUUCAAUCAUACAUGAUGGAGUGAUAAAACUAUACUUAAUUUUUGCAAAUAUGUCUUUAUCUGACUUGGCUUUGUGUAAAAAUAUUAGAAAGCAAUACUGCUUACAGUAGGGUACAUGUUUUCUGGAGCAAAAGGAGACAUCAAAGUCUGGAACCCUUUUGUUGAAUCAGAUGAUGAGUAUAGUACUUCUCGUGUUAGUCUGCAAAGUGGCCCUUACUAUGACUUUGAGAGCAUCGAGUCUGGAUGGGCGGUUAGUACUAAUUUAAUUAUGAAGCCACUCAAUUGUCUUCAAGUUCAUUAUCAUUCAUUAAAGAAUCUCUUAAUCCCCACAAUUCUUUCUUUCUUUUAUUUUAUUUUAUUUUAUUAAUUUAUUAAUUUUUGCCUAAAUUUUCAGGUAAAUCCAAGAGUGUAUGGGGACAGAAAAACUCGAUUAUUUGUAUAUUGGACUGUAGGUUUAUGCCAACCAUGACUUAAAAAUGUUGUAAUGCAUAUUGCUGUAUCAAUAAACAAUGUUUUGUUCAUGUAUUAGGCCGACGCAUCAAAGACAACAGGGUGCUUUGAUGUCACUUGCCCCGGUUUUGUUCAAGUCAGCAACGAGAUUGCGCUUGGUGCAGCAAUUUAUCCCAUUUCAAAUCCUAAUGGGCUUCCAUAUCAGAUCACUAUAUACCUCUUUAAGGUCGGAGAAAAUGCAGCUUUAUUUUGAUUUAAUUAAUAGUUUGCAGGGGAAGCAAUAAUGGAUUUUCACAUUUUUCUGAUGGAAGGUUCUUUUACUUGCAACUUCCUAUUGGUUCAUCUCUUAUCUUUUCUGAUUUCAGGAUCCGGACACAGGCAACUGGUGGAUGCAAUAUGGAGAAAAAAUCAAUGUAGGUUACUGGCCCCCUAAGUUGUUUAGUUUGUUACCCAGUGGUGCAGAAAGUGCCGAAUGGGGAGGCGAGGUCUAUAGCUCGAAGUUGGAGAAUCCUCCUCACACAGCAACAGCAAUGGGAAAUGGGCAUUUUCCUGAUUAUAUUUCCGGUAAUUCAGGCAGUGUCAAGAGAAUUAGAAUUCUUGACAAUUCUCGUACAUUGAAGUUUCCCGAAUGGGUGUAUAGUUACACAGACCAGUACAACUGUUAUGGUGUCGAUUAUGUUGGAGACUACAUUGUAGAUCCUGAGUUCUACUUUGGAGGACCUGGAAGAAAUCACUUGUGCCCUUAAACUCUUGUAACAGAUUCUAGCUACAAACGGAUGCUUGCUGAUUUGCCACCACUUUCUUGGGUGGCAAGCUAAUAUUUUAGAUGCUUCUUAAUUUUGAUUAUUUGCUACUUCUUGCAAAACACGACCGGUCAUAUUUGAAGAUUUGAUAAUUCAGCUACUCAGUGGUCCGCAAGAAUAAAUUCUGCGAAUAAUCUCUUUUGGAUGCUGCACCAUAAAACACAAUUAGCCAGUAAACAUCAGAAUAAGUGGAGCAAAGUAUAAAUGGAAAUACAAAUGUCAGCUUAAUGUGGAGUUUUGACGCUUCCUUUGUUGUUUUUGCCUAUUUCUUGCAGUUUUAUCCAGAGCUUUCCUUUUUCCCUUUUUUUUUUUUUUUCCUUCUACCAAAUAUAACUUUCUGAAUCUGUAUAUUGGUCAGAAUUAGGGAACUUACAACUGAAAUAAUAACACCGCAAAUUAGACACCAUAUGUGGACUCUCCUAGUAAGACAACUUAUUUCCAUUUUGAGAAAAACUUCUGCUGGUGUCUUUGGUUUAGAAUAUUGCUUAUAAAUCAUUUGGCUGAUAAGCAAGGAGUCUAAAUUGAAAUGGAAACAAUAUCAUAGCUUUCCAAAUCAACCUGAAGCAUGGUUAAUACACCCCAAUGCAUUAUGAUAUUAUAUAAUUGUUAUGUUGAAGAUGAAACUGUCAUUGGCUUCAUACUUGCUUCUGAAACAAAAAUGGAGAAUGCCAAAACCAUUUCUGUGCUUUUGCUGGUAACGUUUGUAUCUGUUUUGGGAAAUGGAGUCGAUAGUAAACUUAAAGCUGGACAAACUAUUUCUGAAAUUGAUAGGAGACUGAAGCUUCUCAAUAAGCCUGCAGUAAAAAGUAUUAAGGUAUGUCACAUGCUACUAGUCUAGUACCCCUGGACAAUUUUCGUCACUUAUUAUGUUGGCACUCUAAUGUAAGAGAUUGUUCCCGUAGAGUGAAGAUGGAGAUAUUAUAGAUUGUGUUGACAUCUACAAACAAUCUGCAUUUGAUCAUCAAGCAUUGAAGAACCAUAAAAUUCAGGUGCAUUUAUUAUUAUUCUUACCCCUUCUAUGAUUUGGAGAACAUUUGUUUUCUGAAAAAUGAAGCCUUAAGUGGACUGUCUUCAUUCAUGUAAUAAGCAGCUGAAACCUAGUGUUGAUCUACUGUCGGAGGAAUUGGAUAGAAGGAACGAGUCUCCGCGGCCUGUAAUGAUGCAAACUUGGCAAAAGAGUGGAAGUUGCCCAAAUGGAACUGUUCCCAUUCGCAGAAUCCAGAGGGAAGACUUAUUGAGAGCAGCUUCUCUUGAAAAUUUUGGAAGAAAAGCCCCGGAAAUUCCCUCUUCAGCAAACAAAACAAAUGUUAAAGAAACUCAGUUUAUGUCUUUCAACGAUAGCAAACCAUUAGGAUUUCCUCCCAUAGUUAACCGUUCUGUAAGCCCUCUUUAAGCAGCUGCCAUGUUUUUUUGCCCUUUUUUCAUUUCCUGAACAUAUUUUUUUGUUGCUUAACUCCUAAUUUCUUGAUACACUUCCUGAACCAGGCUGCAUUACUUGUUACAGUCGGAUACAAUUAUAUAGGAGCUCAGGGAGAUAUAAACGUUUGGAACCCAAAAGUUGACUUACCAGAUGAUUAUACUACGGCUCAAAUCUGGCUUAAGGGUGGCCCUGGUGACAAUUUUGAAAGCAUAGAGGGAGGAUGGGUGGUUAGUGCAUUUACCAAAAACAAACAAAAAAUGCCAACAGUUCUAUAUCUUUAUGCUUUGCUCCUAAUCUUAUUAUAAACUGUUUUCCAGGUAAAUCCCAAGUUAUAUGGUGAUAAACUCACGCGUCUAUUUGUGUAUUGGACAGUAAGUACACCAAUUAUCUGCGCAAAAAAAAAAAAAAAAAAAAAAANNNNNNNNNNNNNNNNNNNNNNNNNNNNNNNNNNNNNNNNNNNNNAAAAAAAAAAAAAAAAAAAAAAACUCAUCCCAUAAGUGGAUGACGGUACUUAACUACUUGUUCCAUGCAUGUUCAUCUUAUAUUUGUUUCCAGAGGGAUGGCUACAAAUCGACAGGUUGCUUUGACGCCAUUUGCUCUGGGUUUGUGCAAACAGGACAAAUAGCCCUUGGCGCAACCAUUAGCCCCAUCUCCAGUUCUGGAGGAUCCCAAUAUUAUGUGACUGUUGGCAUAUCCCUGGUAAUAUUUUAAAUUACAUUUUUCUUCCUUUUUGGAUGCUACUAUGUAUGUAAACUCCAUGUCUGUUGAUUUUCAGGAUCCUAACUCAGGAAAUUGGUGGUUAAAACUUAAUGGUAACGUUGUUGUUGGCUACUGGCCUGGAAGUCUCUUUGGUUACCUAAGUCACAGUGCUACAAUAGUGGAGUGGGGAGGACAAGUUUAUAGCCCAAAUGUGAAGAAAACUCCUCAUACAAAAACUGCCAUGGGCAGUGGAGAAUUUUCACAUAGUCUUCAAGGUUCUGCUUGUUCAAUAGAGCACGUUCGAAUUAUAGACUAUUCUCUUCAGCUCAAGUACCCUCAAUGGGUGGGCACUUGGGCUGAUGAAUAUUAUUGCUACGAUGCAUAUAAUUUUGUUGAAGGAUACACAACUGAACCAGUGUUCUUCUUUGGAGGGCCUGGCCAAAAUCCUAAUUGUAAGUGAGAAUCAUGAUUUAAAGCAAAAGCGUUACGUACUCAUUUCAAUGUAACAAAGUAAUUUUCACAGCUCCCCAACUGUAGCUAUACAUCAAAGUAUCCACUCAUUUCAUAUUGUUGCUGUGAAGUUUAAUGGAGCUGAUGUGCCAAAAUCGGAUCCAUUAUGGUAGAGUUUACAUUUUAGAUUGGAGUGGGAAUUCUGAAGAGUGAGAAUCUUGAAAUUAAAAGCGUGGAAUGAGAGUGAGAGUAUGUUAUUUACUUACACUUGAGUGGGAGUAUGAAAUUGUCUUGGAUUGGUAGUAAAUAAUUUAAAUUACAGUUUUACCUUUAUUUAAAGAAUUAUAAUUUUUAAUUACAAAAUUAAUAAAAAUAUAUUUGAAAAAUAAAAUAUUUAUUUUAUUAUAUUUAUAAAUUAAUAAUAAUUAUUAAUAUUCUUAAUUAUGUAAAUCAUAAUCUUUUAUUAAUUUUAAUUUGAAUUAUGUAAAUACAAAAUUUUUAAUAAUAACACAAAUGAAACAUUAUUAUUGAUAAUCUNNNNNNNNNNNNNNNNNNNNNNNNNNNNNNNNNNNNNNNNNNNNNNNNNNNNNNNNNNNNNNNNNNNNNNNNNNNNNNNNNNNNNNNNNNNNNNNNNNNNNNNNNNNNNNNNNNNNNNNNNNNNNNNNNNNNNNNNNNNNNNNNNNNNNNNNNNNNNNNNNNNNNNNNNNNNNNNNNNNNNNNNNNNNNNNNNNNNAGCAGUAUUUUAUUUUAUUAAAUCUAAUAAAAUAAGUAUGUUUAUUAUUAUUUUUAAUAAAUGUAAUUUAUAAUAUAAUAUAAUAAUAUUAUUUAAAUAAAUAUGAUGUUAUUUAUUUUAUUUUAUUAAGAGAAAUUAUUAGUCAUAUACAUAUAUUAUUAUUUUUAAUAAAUAUAAUUUAUAAAAUAAUAUAAUAAUAUCAUUUAAAUAAAUAUUGUUAACUUCCGUUAGAAAGUUAACAGAAUUGUGACAAAUUGACUAUUUUGCCCUUGAAACUCAAAAUGAGGUAAAAAUAUAAAUUUACCCAAAAAAUUAACGUAAAUUUUCAAUACACAAUUUUUUUUUAUUUUUUUUAUUAACAAUACAUUUUUUUGAUUAAAAAAAAGAAUUAUUAAUGGUACAUAAUAUUAACAAUUAUCCAUAAAAAAAUAUCCAUAUUAUACCAUAAAAAAUUAUUAACAAUAUAUUAUUUACAAUUAUACAUAUUAUACCAUAAAAAUUUUUAGUUGGAGCUUGGAGGAGUAGAUCUUCAAAAAUUUAGGUUAAAUUUCAGAGAAGUAGAUUCGGUUGUAAAGUAGUUUUUUUUAGUAAUUAUUAACAAUUAUCCGAUAAAUGGGAUGACAUGUCAUUUUUAUCAAUAUAUAUGAUAUGACAUGUCAUUUUUUACUAGGUAAAUAGGAUGACAUGUCGUUUUUUUAAUCAAAGUUUCGUCAAUCUUAAAAGACUAAAUUACCCUUAUGAUGUCAGCGCUUGCAAACGGAAGUUAACGGAUUGGUGGACGGCAGAAAUUUUUUGUCAACUUAGGGUAUACGAGUGAUACACUUGAAAAGUGUUCACACACGUUUGAUACGAGUGUCAUUUAAAUGUAUAUGAUUGAUAAUUUUCCUUUUAUUAAAUAUUAUUUAUUUUAUUUUAAAUAUAAGGAUAAAAAGGGAAGAGGGGGGAGUGGAUUCAAUCCACUCUCUCCUUAAAAAUUGUAAGUAAAUAUUAGAGUUGGAGGAAUCCAAACUUCUCACUCUCACUCCAGAAAAUAAACACUACAUAUAAGCAGUGCAAUCUAAUAUAUUUUAAAGUAACUAUCAAUUGUCAAUUUGAAGGGUGAAAAAAAUGAAUGGAAAAUACUUCUUUUUUUUAUGUUUGCUUUCGGAGAUUUGCAGAUGCAACAGAGGGGAAUCAAUUGAGAAAGCAAUUCUUUAAUUGUAAGUCAAAAACUUUGUUCUUUUGCCUAUUUUUGUAGGUGUGUUCGUACUCACAACUCAAACGUUAACAAUGAACUAAUAACAGAUAUCUCAACAAGUUUAUCACAAAUUAGUUGUCAUGAGAUGUGGCAUUAAUUGAGUGAUUAUGAUUUUGCACUAUUUUUAAUCCGCCAUUUUACCCUCCACUUGAAGAAAUGAAACCCACGUGAGUUUAGGAUAAACUUUUAGGAUAACUAGCAUUCUUAAACAUUAAUAACACAAUAUAUAUUAAGGAAAUAACUUUUAAGACCUCCGAGGGAAUUAUCCCUGAAUAAGGCAAUUUUGUAUUCCAUUUUUAGAAAAAGAAUAAAUCAGUUGGAUUUGGGUUUGUUUGGAUAAAAUAACUUGAUUGGAACUUUGCAAGAACCCACCUGCAAUGGAAACAAAAAUUUGACUUUUCAAAUGAACUUGAAGCAGGGUUAAUGAGCAAUAAAUAUUACAUAAUUGCACUUUGGAAAAUGACACUUUUGCUUUACAGUGUUUGUGUCAUCAGGAAAUUUCGAUUUUCCAAUCACUCUUGAUGCUUUUGUUUCUGCCGCCAAAGCUGCUUUUGUAACAGAGCAAAAAUGGAGAAAACAGUUUAUUUGUUUUUGUUGUUUGGGGCUAUAUCUACCCUGUGUAAUGGAGUAGAAGUGAACGCUAAAGCUAGAAAAACUCUUCCUGAAAUUGACAGGAAGUUGAAGCUUCUCAACAGGCCUGCAGUAAAAAGCAUUAAGGUAUAAGUGAGUAAUGGUAUUUUACAUCCUUAAUAUUUAUUAAAAAAAAAAAAAUUCACUCUUGUUUUGGGUGGUUGGUAAUGGUAUUUUACAUCCUUAAUAUUUAUUUUACAUCCUUAAUAUUUAUUAAAAAAAAAAAAAUUCACUCUUGUUUUGGGUGGUUGGUACUCACUCCCUUAACUUUUGAGUUUUGCUACCAACCACUCUUGUUACUAACCAUUAACCCAGGAGUGGUUUCUGCUGUAAAUAUUUUAAUACUUAAAAAAAUAAUACUGGCUUGUCAAAAAAUUAAUAGAGCAUCAGCAGUUGUUUUUCCUUUUAAGACGCUGAAAAACUAGCAUUUAUGGUAGAGUUUAUCUUUCAUAGAGUGCACAUAAUGGGAUGUUUCCUUCUGUAGAGUGAAGAUGGAGAUAUUAUUGAUUGUGUUGAUAUAUACAAACAACCUGCACUUGAUCAUCCUGCAUUGAAGAACCACACAAUUCAGGUGCAUUUUAUCAUUUCUCUCUUCUUUUCCUGAGCUACUUAUGAAAGAUCAUGGUUAGAAACUUGCACUGACUACAAUUCUGUUAGAUUUUUACUAGUCUUGCUUCAUACAAUAUGCAGCUGAGCCCCAGUUUUGAUAUACCAGCCGAGAAAGUGGAUAGAAGAAAUGAGUCUUCUAGGCUGCCGGUAACAAUUCAAACUUGGCAAAAGAGUGGAAGUUGUCCAAACGGAACUGUUCCAAUUCGAAGAAUUCGAAGGCAAGAUUUAUUGAGAGCAUCUUCUCUUCAGCAAUUUGGGAGAAAAGUCCCUGAAGUAUCCUAUGCAGCUAAUAGAACAGAUGCUACACACAGCAAAUUUGAGUCUAUAAACAACAAAACGAUCCACCUUGGUCCUCUAGUUGACCGUUCAGUGAGCAGCUGUAGCUUUUUCAUGCCCUUAAUAAAUUCUUGUUGUUUCAAAUUCUCCUAAUUUUCUUGAUGGUACUAAGUACCAGGCUGCACCCCUUCUUACAACACAAUACAAUUGCAUAAAAGCUACUUCUAAUAUUCUCGGUUACAAUUCCUGAACCAGGCUGCAGUACUUGUUACAGUCGGAUUCAAUUACAUAGGAGCUCAAGGAGAUAUAAACGUUUGGAAUCCGAGAGUUGAAUCGCCAGAUGAUUAUACUACUGCUCAAAUUUGGCUCAAAGGUGGGCCUGGUGACAAUUUUGAAAGCGUAGAGGGAGGAUGGGUGGUUAGUACAUUUACCAAUAAUGUAAAUAAAAAUGCUAACAGUUCUACAUAUUUAUGCUUUCUUCCUAAUCUAAUUAUAAUUUUUUUUUUCAGGUAAAUCCAAAGUUAUAUGGUGAUAAACUGACGCGAUUAUUUGUAUAUUGGACUGUAAGUGUAUCAAUUUUCAUUAAAAACUCUCACCCCAGAAGUGAAUUGUGGUUCUUACUUACUGGUUCCAAACAUGUUCAUCUCAGAAGGAUAGCUACAAAUCGACAGGAUGCUUCGAUGCCAUUUGCUCUGGGUUUGUGCAAACAGGACAAGUAGCCCUUGGAGCAGCCAUUGGUCCUUGGUCGAUUUCUGAAGGACCCCAGUAUUAUUUGCCGGUCGGCAUAUACUUGGUAUGAUGGUAAUAAUUUUUUUUUCUUUCUUUUCCUUUAAUGCACCUAAAAAUGUAAAACUCCAUUUUUUUUUUCUUUUUCAAUUUCAGGAUCCUAACACAAAAAAUUGGUGGCUAAAAGUUAAUGGUAACAUUGUUGUCGGCUAUUGGCCUGGAAGUCUCUUCAGUUACCUAUCGUACAGUGCAAUAUUAGUGGAAUGGGGAGGACAAGUUUAUAGCCCAAAUGUGAAGAAAACUCCUCAUACAAAAACUGCCAUGGGGAGCGGAUCAUUUUCACAUGGUCUUCAGGGUUCUGCUUGUUCAAUCGAGCACGUUCGAAUUAUAGACUUUUCUCUUCAGCUCAAGUACCCUCAAUGGGUAGGCACUUGGGCUGACGAAUAUUACUGCUAUGAUGCUUACAAUUAUGUUAAAGGCUAUACUACUGAACCAGUGUUCUUCUUCGGAGGGCCUGGUCAAAAUCCUAUUUGUAAGUGAGAAUUAUGAAUUAAAGCAACAAGCAUAAUGAAAUCAGUGUAAUAUAACAUAGUGAUUUUCACAGCUCCUUAUCUGUUACUGUACAUCCAAUUGGUGAAAAACAUCAACGUAUCCGCUCCCUUCAUGAUGUUGCUGUGAAGAUUAAUGGAGCUGAUAUGCCCAAAACGGAUCCAUCAUAAGCUGUGAAAUCCAAAGUAUUUUUAACUAGUAAUCAGUUGGCAAUCCGAAGGUGCAAAGUAUGAAUGGAAUUGCUUAAGUAUGUUAGCUUUAGAGAUUUACAGAUACAACAGAUGGGAAUGAACUGAAAGAUAGCUAUUCUUUACAGAUAAUAUGUUAGCUAUGGAGAUUUACAGGUACCUGACUGAUAAUGUACACGGGGCAUAAGAUUGCUAAGGUGAAAACUAACAUGAGGAGAGGAUCCUAUCCGCUAUAGGUGUAUUCGCACUAACAAUUCUCUUAUCACAACAUAUAUUAAGGAGUAAGUUUUAAGAUCUGUCUGGGAAUUCUUCCUGAAUAGACAAAUUUGUCUUCCAUUUUUAGAAAAAGAAAAAGAAAAUCCACUGCUUUUGUUUGGAUUAGGCUACCUUAUUAAAUAACUUGCCUGGAACUUUGCUAGAACCAACUUGAAAUGGAAACAGAAUUAAAAGAUUAAUCGACUUUCCAAUAACUUGAAGCAGGGUGUUUGAACACCAAUGAUUAUUUAAUUGCACCUUGAAGAUGAUAAUUUAGCUUUACAAUAUCUUCGUCAUCUGGGAUUUUCCUACAAGUCCUGUUGGCUUUUGUGAGAAAGCACAUAUGGAGAAAACAGUCUGUUUGCUUUUGUUUAUAGUGGCUGCAUCUAGUUUGAGUAACGGAGUAAAAGUGAAUGCUAAAGCUAGAGAAACCCUUUCUGAAAUUGACAAGAAGUUGAAGCUUAUCAACAAGCCAGCAGUAAAAAGUAUCAAGGUAUGGCAUACAAUAAAUAUUUAGAUCUUAUCAAGUUCUAAACUUGGGAGGCCAAUGUUGUAUCAAUGAGUCCAAAAGUGAUUAAGGGUGGUUUUUCUUCUUAAACUUGUAGUAUUUAAAAAUCCCACUGGCUUGUCAAAUGUUUAAUAGAGCGUUGCUGGGCAGUUUUUGUUAUUAAGAUAGUGAAAGAAUAGCAUAUACGGUAGCCAUUUUCUUCCAUAAAGUGAUGAGUUCUUUAAUAACAUAAUGUGAUGGUUCCUCCUGUAGAGUGAAGAUGGAGAUAUUAUCGACUGUGUUGAUAUCUACAAACAGCCUGCGUUUGAUUAUCCAGCAUUGAAGAACCACACGAUUCAGGUACAUCGAUCAAUUCAUUUUUCAAUUUCCGAGCCACUGGUGAAAAGAACCAAAGGUAGAAAGUUCCCUUUCUAUCAAAAAUACAAAGAAUUUUGCACUUGCAAGAACUUUGGUUAUUUUCUCACUUGUCUUUGCUUCAUGUUAUAUACAGCUGAGGCCCAGUUUUAAUAUACCAUCUGGGAAAUUGGAUAGAAGAAAUGAGUCUUUUAGACCAGUAGCAGUCCAAACUUGGCAAAAGAGUGGAAGUUGUCCGAAUGGAACUGUUCCAAUUCGAAGAAUUCGAAGACAAGACUUAUUGACAGCAGCUUCUCUUGAGCAGUUUGGGAGAAAAUUCCCAGAAAUUUCCUAUGCAGCCAACAAAACAGAUGCUAAACACAGCAAAUUUGUGUCUCUAAACAGCAAGACAGUCAAUCUUGAUCGUCUGGUUAACCGUUCAGUGAGCAGCUAGAGCUUUUUCACGCCCGUAAUUAAUUUCCAUUGUUUAACUUCUCUUAAUUUUCUUGACGGCACUUCAUGUACCAGGCUGCAGUCCUGCUUACAGUAGGAUACAAUUACAUAGGAGCUCAAGCAAAUAUAAAUGUCUGGUGUCCAAACGUUGAAUCAACAGAAGAUUAUACCACUGCUCAAAUCUGGCUUAAGGGUGGGCCUGGUGACAAUUUUGAAAGUGUGGAGUCAGGAUGGAUGGUCUGUACAACUACCCAAAGCAUGCUUCACAAAACAGUCAAUGCUAACAAUUUAGCAUCUUUAUAUUUUUCUCUAACUUUACUAUAAUCUCUAUAUUCAGAUAAAUCCCAAGUUAUAUGGUGAUAAACUCCCACGAUUUUUUGCAUACUGGACUGUAAGUAUAUUUUCUACUAAAGCUUCUCUAAACUACUUUGGAUUGCAAGUACAGUAGCUAAUUUGUUCCAUGUCUAUCUCAAUUUUUUUAGAGGGAUGCUUACAAAUCAACCGGUUGCUUCGACCUGACCUGCACUGGUUUUGUGCAAACAGGCACUCAGAUUGCCCUUGGUGCAUCCAUUAGUCCUUGGUCUAGUACUGCCGGACCCCAGUAUUACAUUCCCAUUGCCAUGUCCAGGGUAACAAUUUAUAUCUGCUUUUUCUUGGUUAAGUUGAUUGUUUGAAGUUAUAAAUCAGCAGUAAAUAUUUAAUGAAGUCCAUUUUUAUUGAUUCCAGGACCCUCAAACAGGAAAUUGGUGGUUAAUGUAUGGCGAUGCUGUUAUUGGGUACUGGCCUGGAGCUCUCUUUGAUUACCUGAAGCAAAGUGCAAUCUUUGUUGAAUGGGGAGGGCAAGUCUACAGUCCAAAUGUGAAGAAAACUCCACACACCAAGACUGCUAUGGGCAGCGGAUCAUUUGCAAGUUCGCUCUACGGAUCAGCGUGUUACAUUGACCAUAUUAGAAUCAUUGAUUAUUCUCUCCAGCUCAAGUACCCGCAAUGGGUAGGCACUUGGGCUGAUGAAGAAGAUUGCUAUGAUGCAUAUAAUUUAAUUCAAGGAUAUACUGUUGAACCUGUAUUCUUCUUUGGAGGGCCUGGUCAAAAUCCUCACUGUAUGUAAUGUGAGGAUAAGAAUGAAAAUGAAACGAAAUAUUGCAGUGCAAUCUUGCUAAUCGCGGAAGUUAAUUAUUUGCAAGAAAGUUGUGAUCUGUUUUCUUCCUUGUAUCAAUGAGAACAUCUAAAGUCAUGUUGAAUGGAUUGAUUUUGUGGGAAGAAAAGGAAGUUCUGCCAUAUGAAGAGAAGAAUAAAAAUGGUGCUUUCUCAAUGACCCCUGCUGUAUUUCCAUAUAUAAAAAUAAUCCCCACUUAGAGGAAUCUGAAUAGUCAAAGUAAAUCAAUAAGGUUUCGUUAGCAAUAGGUGAGUGAUUUGAAUUUGCAAUGGCUGCCACUAUUUCAAUCCACUGUUGCUUGCAUUUGACUCUAGUUAUCACCGGUCUCAUGUUGAUUCAUGGAUUUGCUAAAGAGAAAACUGCAAUGAUAAAAAACAAAGAGAAGCUUAUCAAGCAUAAACAUGCUUUUAAGUUUUAAAACCAUUUCAGGUUGUGAUUACCAUAACUUUUUUCUCAAUUCAUUUGGUAGGAUGAUUUCAUAGGGAUGUAUUUGCUUCUCGAAAAUGGGGUUAGUGUCGACUGCAUUGACAUCUACAAACAACCGGCUUUUAAUCAUCCUCUUCUCAAGAAUCACAAGAUACAGGUUUCUUGGUUUUAUAAGUACUUGGUGCAAAUUUAUAAGCACAUAUGGUAAACCCCUUCGAAAUUGCUAUUAUUUCAAGUGACUAGUACUCGGUAAAUGCUCUUGUUUCUGAUUUUCCUUAGAGUAAUUAACAGAUGAAGCCUACUUCACACCCAGAACAAAAGAAAUCUAUGGCCUCCAAAAAUUCCCACACACAGCUUAUUCAACUCAAGGCAGUCGACUGUCCAGAAGGAACAGUCACCAUUUUAAGAACUCGCCAGAUGGUAAUCUUAUGGACACUCGAUCAAGCAGAAGUGCCACCUAUGGAUUCGGCUUUAACAGCAAUGAAUAUGAGGUUAAAUAUAACAUGUAACAAUGAAUAAUGCCGCCUAUAAUACUUUUCACAUUCUGCUAAUCAUUUUCGUUGAUGCAGACUUAAAUAUUGCUGAUGCUGGAUGGAUAUGCAUUCAUGGCUUCAACGUAUACAUUUUACGCAUAUGGAACCUUUGAUACAUGCUCUUCCAAACUGGAUAUGAUUAAAUAUGUAGAAUGUUGAUUUUAAACAAAGAGAACAGAACACAGAGAAAUUGGGGCUGUUAAUUGCAUGUCAUUCAUUGUUGCAGUAUCUGAAUUUAUUCAAAGAAAAGAAACAAACAAAGCCAAAAAAUCUGCCUACAUAUCUUUAACAUAUAUCUGAUAUCAUAAAUUCAAAAACAAAUUGUUCCUACAAUCUUGCAGGAUAUUAUUGACAGCAUAAUCAUAUCUUUGCUGUUUUUAUUUUUGCUCAAAUCCUGCAGCAAAUAUAGCAUUGUCAUCAUAGAAAUAUUGAACCAGAACUUGGAGCAUAUUUCGUCGCUCUUAUUAUUUUGAUCAUAGUCUAAUUGACUGUUUAUGGGUAUAUUUUUUUCGCGUUUUUAGGUGAAUCCAACACUAUAUGGAAACAACCUUUCACGGCUAGUUGCAUUUUUGACAGUGAGCUUUAAUUAUCAUAGAUUCUCUUAAUCAUAUAAAUUGUCAAUGUUUUUGCUUAACAUGCAUGUUAAUUUUCCAUAUUGUAUGUCAAAUUCAGAAAGAUAAAUUCAGCAAAACAGGUUACCAUGAUCUCAAAUGCUUUGGUUUCGUUCAAGUGUCCAGUACACAGUAUCUUGGCUGUGUACUAGAGCCUGUUUCUGAAGAUGGUGAUUACAACCACCAAUAUGAAGUUUUUAUUGCGAUUUACAAGGUAAUUUACUCAUGCUUUACGCCAUAAAAUUGCAUGCUCAAAAAAAUUAGCAAGUGUUUCAGGAUAUAGGCUCGAGAAGUUCGUGGUUAAGAUAUAAGGUGUAAGCAUCGGAUACCGCCCAACUACAAUUUUCACAAAACUGGCAGACAGAGCCAACAGGGUGGUCUGGGGGUGUAGAGUCUACACAUUCCAGCAAAAAUGGGCACACAUUAAAAACAAGGCGGUCUGGAUGCCAUGCUUUUUUUUAUUUGAGUCUACAAGGAGGAGAAAAAAACGACCGGGGCAGUUUCUUUUAUUAUGGUAGUUUUGCAGCUUGGUAUGAAUGCCAAUAACAUAUAUAAAAAUAUUUGGUAAUUAAUGUGACAUGCUUACGCCUGCAGUUAAAUAAAUUUGUCAAGAAAUUCCAAUAGCACAGCAUAGUAAAGGCUCAGUUCAUGAUAAGUGUUUGUAUUGCUACAGAUGUGACAAGCCUACAACAUACGAGGGAAGUCAGUUUUGUGGACUUGGCUAUGUUGCAACUGUAGUACCGUGCCACAAUUGCAACUCAUUAGAUCCACUUGGAUCCACUGUUGCAACCCUCAUCCAAGUGGAUCCAAUGGCUGGUUGCAACUGUGGCACGGUACUACAGUUGCAACAUAGCCGGACCCCAGUUUUGUCAGUGGAAAAACUGUCGUCCCCUUCCCUUAUGGAGAGAUCUAUCCCUCUGCCUAGGAAUAAUCUUAAACACAAAAAUAUUUUCAUACUAUACAGACUUCCUGUAUCCUUCUAGAGAUACCUACAUAUGAAUAAGAAUUAUAAUCACAAUCCAUAAGAGAAAAUACAACAUAUCACACCAAAAAAGGAGAGCAGGGAAGGACCAAGCAACACUCCGAAAGAGAAUCGCAGAAUUUAACCAGCCAGAUUUUAUUUGAUGUAAAAAAGCUAAAUUGAGUCAUACUGUUUCCUCUCUUCUUGUAUAGACUGGAAAAUUCGAGCCACAGAUUCAGUAGCUGAUCUAGGAUUGUGAGGCACAACUUUGAUCACUUUUGUUGGCUGGUCUGCAUCAUGAGGCUGAGGGGCCGCCUCCUGAACAACUGGAGACACGGUAGAAACUUGAAGUGCAUCUGUACCUUCAGCAGCAUGACCCAUCCCAUCACCUCGCACUCUCUCACCUGGACUACUUGCCGUACUUCCUUGUAACUCUGUGUCUUUAGAUGCCUGAAACUGCCUUACUGGUGGAACAGCUCCAUUCUUCUGGGCUGGUACAUUACAGGAGCUCUCUUGUGGCAUGUAAAAAUUAGCAUCUCCUUGAGAGAAUUGAUCACGCGAACCUGGCACAGCAAACUGAUUCUUUUGUUCAGCAGCUGAACCUGAGACCGAUGGGUUCAUAACUGGCAUGCCAUAAGGUGGGAAGUAACCAUGACCAACUAGAUGAGCACCAGGCAUAACCCCAUUUCCUUGAAGAGGAAUAGGUGAUGUAAUCCCAUAGUCUGGAUGCAUAAAAUUACCUGUCAGAGGUGCUGGGCCAAAAGGUGAACAUCCUCCCCCGCAAACUGUUCCCAUAAAUCCAGGUCCAGGAUAUGGCUUGUAUAUAAGCCCCUCCGAAGGGGACAUAACAGGAAUCAACCACUGCUGCCCAGGCGAUUGAUGAAAACACCAAUGAGCCAUUCUGGAAUUGGUGGCUUCCAUUGGUGGAGGUUGGUUUGCACAGUAAGGCCCAUAAUUUGAAGGCUGACUACCAUUUUUCACAGAAGAAAGAGACGUCUUCCCUACAGCAUUUUCCGCAGAGGAUUCUAUCUUAUGGUUAGGCUUCUCAGAAUCAACUUUGCGCUUAACACUGUGUGGCAGUGGUUUUACAACAUACUCCAAUGGAAGUUUUUUAGCAGGAGAGGCCUUCAAAGAUGGUUUGCCAAGACAGGCGCUCUCUUCAAGCAAAACGUCUGGUGAUUCAGCAAUCAGUUGUUGGACCUGUUUGAAUACACAGAUUAAUUUAAUUUCCUUACAGCAGGAAAAAAAUAAAGGCAAGAGAGUCUGCAGCCCUUGCCAGGAGAAGUAUAAGCUACUUCACAGAGUUAAGACAUCCUUACCUUGAUUAGUCUAUGCAACUCAAAUACUUGAACUGCAAACACUCUUUGCUGACUGUAUACAGUAACAGGAGUUGCAUCAAGAACCAAAUUCCAUAGAAAUCAUUAAAGGAGUUUAACAAACACAGCACAGAGAUAGGACUAACAAGAAUCCAAUGGACAUCCACAUGCGAUCAGAUAUCAUAUACCAUAAUUAUGAAGGCUGUAGCAUGCAGAACAAAACAACUUGCAUACAUACAAAUGCAAGAUGUUAUUUGGGUUGGCUUUAAAAUUACAAUAUCCAACAAAAAAUUUCACCAAGUACAAACUUUUUAGACCAUAACCACACUUUUUAUCCAACGCCCAUUGUAGAUACAGCUAGCCUCACGCACCUACAAGUGUCAAAGAAGCCUAAAAUCUCUCCCUAGCUCUCUAAUUACAAUCAUACUCUAGCAAUCCUAGUGCACUCCAAUAAAGUCAGAGACAAAAAAAAAAAAAGGAGAAUAUGGUCAAAGACUACGAUACACACAAUUGUAACAAGUUCCUAAACAAGAAUCACUUGGCAAAAUUUCAGUAAUAAAUACCACCAGCAGAAGACCGGAAUUUUUCAUUUCAAAACUUGUACAUUUUCUCCCUUGGGAAAAGCGAGUGAAGUGGAGAACUCUAUUAAUAACUACAAAGAUGUACAAAUAACUAGAAGCAGUACUAGACAUCACCUUGAUUUUACAAUAGAAAGGAAUAAGAAGGAAUAAGAAAAUACAUGCAAGAUAAUGAUUCAGAAUGGAGAUACGUACAUUUUGCAUCUACUUGAAGAGAUGAAGCAUAAAUUUUCUGUUCGAAAUAAUGAAAACGUGUAUAACACAUACAAACUGUACACGCCUAACAUAUAUCAUAAACACAUUGCACAAAAGACUGCGAAUCACAACCCCACAAUAUCUUCCAACAUAAAAAUACUAAGACAUCAAAUGAAACAUCCCAUUCGCCUCCAAGUACUGUAAAAAAUUAUCCCGUUUCUCAGAGAUCCACCCAACAUAAGCUUCAGGGAUCAUCCUCCAGCGAUAUUUCCUUUCCUGCUCCAAGCCCCCAAGUGCUGUGGAUAGAUAAACUCCCAGGAUCACAGGGAAAAGAAAGCAACACCACACCGAGACAGGAAGAUAUGCGAAAAGCAGAUGCAAGACAACAAACAAAAGUGAAAUGAUCCACUGUCUCAGGGCCUCCUUGCAUACCUCGAUUAGGAUUGUCCAUUUCCCUGCUGUAAGAUGAUCCAUUGUUAAAACAUUAUUGAGGGCCUUUGAACAAAAAAGGGGUCACUUACGAGGAAUCCCGGAACUCCACACCAUAAACCUUCCCUCCCUCAAAGUCACAAGUACAACUCUUAAUUCACAAGUGUAGCUUUAUACUGUGAAAAUACUACAAUGAGCAUCUCUUCUCCAAUAAAGAAAUUCUCAUAUUCUGAAAUUUACACCAUAUUAGACAAACUAAGAAACUGUCAAAGUUUCUAAAAGAAAAAUCUAUUACAAUCAUCCUGAAGUCAAUAGUAGGCCCAGCCCCAGACCACAAGCAAACUCAUGCCAGUGGAUCUCAAAAAGAAAAUUGAGAAGAGGCUGCCACUGCAAAUUACUUGCGUCCAUAAAAAGAACAACGAGUCUAGCAUGAAAACAAAAACUCUAAAAGUACUGAAAAAAUUAAGGAAAUGAAUUGUGGGUCCAUCCCAUUUCGACUUGUCACAGCCAAAUAAGAUAAUACACGUCCCAUAAAACCUCACUACUCCACCCCUUAGUUUCCUAUGGCAUACCAGCAUCCUUACAUUUGCAUAAAAUACAGAUAUAAUAUCAUCUAACAGAUAUGGUAUAUCCACUGCUUAUACAACAUACAAUGGUGCAUUAGGACGAUUUCAAGUCCCAAAUUCAGAGCCAUGAAGAAGAAAACAGGAUAAGAAGCUAUUAAUAAGCACCAGAUACUUACUUGACAAUUGCUCUUCUUGCUUUCCAGAAAUGUUUAUGACCUAUUAUUCCAACAACAUCAUCAGGAGACAUAUCCACGCCUGACAUAGAAUCCACCAUGGAGGUUUCAGAGACAUCGUCACUUUUAUCUCCACUUCCCAACUGCAGUGACCCACAAGUCUUGUCUACAUGGUAUCUGCUGUCAUUAUGAAGCCCACUUCGAUGGCCACAGUCUUCUGUUGAAUGAGUGUCACCUCUAGGCUGGAGAACAACUUCCUUCUGAAAAUCCCCAGUGGAGUCAACAUCAUCAUAACGACAACAGCCAUUUGGUGGCAAGCCAGCUCCAGACUCCAGUCGUAAAGAAGCAUCACUAUCAUUUAUUCUGCUAAAAUCAGAUCCUGAGAUUUCUCUAUAUUCUUGAUUAGGAGAUGCACUUACUUCCUUCACAAUCCCAUCAAUCUUUUCUCUAAUUGAUAAAUUCACAGAAGAUUUUGCAGGAAAGUUUCCAAUUGAGAUGCAAAUCUUUGGGUUCUCUUGACAAGCGUGUCCUCCCUGUUGUCUCAAACUGAUACUAGAGGAGCUACUGCGUUUUGGAUUCUUAUCGCAAGCAUUUUGGAAUUUUGUAGACUUACGGGUAUUAGACGGGUUAAAGGGAGAGAGGUUUCCCUUAUCAACAUCACUUUGAGAUUUACCAUGACAUUGUCCCAUCCCUGCCUGAUCGAAUAUAGGAACUGCAAAAUCAUCCUCCUCACUUACUUUCUUACUCUGCUCAUGAUGUUGCAAAUGAGUGUUCAAAGUGGCUCCAGCAGGCUGGUCAGAAUGACACUUCUCAUCCAAAUGAGUGGGUGUUGAAGGAUGUACAGAAUGUGCGAAAAGCAAAUUUCUUUCAAGGCCAUUCCCCUGCAAAUACAACAAUCAUUUAUAUAACUGCAAUGAAGCUGGUCCCUCAUAGAUACUCAUACAUAGAAAGCACACAAUCAUACACACAGACAUAAUUUACUCACAUUAAUCAGAAGUAUCAUAUGUGUAUCACCAAUUAACAUAGGUAAAAAUGAAGUUUUCCUCACAUGUAAACAAAAACAAGUGCACAAACAGUCAGAAGGCCACUGGCCACCCACCAAUAAGACAAAAAUCAGAAAUGACUAGCUGCAACGAAUGAAUCUUUCAAUUCCCCUGGGAGUACAUAAGAAUUUCACUAACACUUGAAAAGCCAACAUCAAAGUCAAACACUUGAUGACCGUAUUAAGAUCUACUUAAACAAGAAGCUUCCAUCACAAUAGGAAAAAACAAAAUAAUUAGUUUUUUUCAUCAUAAUUCAACUGAGCCAAUACAACAAUACAUAAUAGUACCCUUUAGAUUAUCAACAUUGGCAAUACUUUAUCAACAAAAGACCUAGAAGAUCACUCGUGAACUUUUCACCUAUCUCUAACAAAUCAGUUACAGAAGUUGUUGAAGGUACCUGGCUUGAAGAAACUGGAGGAACCAAACUGCUACUGUUUGAUGGAUUCAGAGGCAAAACACCGGUACUAAACCUCUGAGUAGGGAUACUGAGCUGUUCAUAAAGGGCCAUCUUGUUCCUAGGCGGUGCUCUUGGUCCUCCUUUCUCAGUAUCAUUAACAUGUAAUCUAGGGAACAUUGGUCCCAUGAUCUUUUCAUCAUCUUUUCCUCUCUUCAUUUUUUUUUCAACCUAUCUAUUCUAAACAGAACUCAAAAACUAACCCAAAAUGAAACAACUUGCUUCACAUCAAAUUCACUAACAAAUCCCAUGAAAGUCACCUAGGAAUCUAAAACCCACCAGUAGAAACUCACAAUUCAACAUACCCAGAAAUCAAAAUCAGUUCUUUGUAAAUAUCAAGACUCAAAUCUUUAAACAACACAGAAUCUACUCAAGCCUCCAAAACAAAAACUUACCAUAAAAAAAAAUCAAAAUUUCACAAACCCAGAUAACCAAAUCGGCUCUUUCACUAAAAAUCUCUACCAACUUACAAAGCUCAACAUACACACAAUUCAGUCAAAAGUUGGAGCUUAGUAGCUGAAUCGAUGUGGAAAAUGAAAAAAAAAAGGUGAAUUCUUUUAGGAUAUUUGCAAAAUUGUGAAAGCAUAUACAAGAUUGUUAAAAAAGAGAGGGAAUCGAACAAAUUCGAUAAGAAGAAAGAAGGGAUUGGGCUUAUGCUCAUAUAGGGAUUCCUGAGAAGUACAGCGACUUUUAGGAAAAGGGAAAGUGAAAAGUGCUGGAUCCGGGCCCACUUCGGAUAGGCCUAGAAGGCCUAGCACAUUGAUUUUUAUAUUAAAAACCAUGAUCUGGAUUUGUUGCCAGCUUGCUAUUUUAAUUUUAUUUAAUUUAGAUGUUUACGUUAGUUAUUAUUACCCAGUGAAUUGGCUCUUUCGCUGCAAAUUUCUUUAAAUCCCAAAUGAUUCUAUCCAUUUCAUUAAAAAUAUAGUUAAUUACUCAAUGAGCACUUGGCGUUAACAUCAAUAUUUGUUAAUUAUGUGAUAUCAGUAAUUUUAUUAGCAUUUUUAAUAUUUACUAACAAAAAAGACUUCAACCUUAUCCUCAUAAAAUUAUUUUGUUACUUAUUUCAUUAGGAAUUAUUGAUGUUUUAAUACAUUACAUUCAUGUAUUUAUAAUUCAUGUGACGGUAUUAAUACUCUUAAAAGAAGUUCUCUUUUACUCGUAGCUCGCGUUUAAUAAUAAAAUGAUUGUUUUUCAUAAAAUUAGUUUUCUCUUUCUCAUUUUUGUGAUAGUUUUCUCUUUUCUUUUCUUUUUUUUAAUAGUUUUGUCUAUUUUAAAAAAAUUUCUCUACUUUAUUAAUGUUAUUUGUAGAAUUUUUUUUCUUUUUUACUUAUUUUGUGGUUAGACCGGAGUCAAGAUUUUUCUCUAAUCUCGUUCAUUUAAAUAGCUUCUAAUUAAAGAUCUUUUAAUUUAUACGACGUGGCUUAUUAAUCAUUUUUCACACUCUCUUAUUAUGGAGUCAGGAGAUUACAUUUCAAAAUCUUGUUCGUGAUAACAAUGAUUUUGUGAAAGGAGCCGCAACAGCGGCGCUCGCCUACCUAUUCUUGAAAUAUUGGGGCCUGUAAUCUGUAUAUUCACUUUCUAAUUUGAUAUCGAUUCUUCCCUAAUUAGCGUUUCUCGUGAUCAGCGUUUCUGUGCCACAAAUACACGGUCUGUCACAUGUCAAUAGAAUCAUAUCUCUUUCAAUGACGUGGCGCGAAGUGAGUGGUGUACUCCUUGCGGACUUAUUGUUACGGUAAACAUCAGAACCAAACUCUUUUUGCCUUUUUUUAACUUUUUCUCAAUUUAAAUUCAUUUCCGGAAAAGAAAAAAGACAAGCCAGAAUAAAAACCCUAAUAGGGUACAAUACAGAGGGGAAAAGAAAAAAAUUUUAAAAAAAAUUGAUCUGGUUGGAUGGUCCCGAUGACAUGGCUUCGUCUCCUUCUCAUCAAACUCAUAUUCCCCUCUCUUCAGACCCUGGUAAUUAAUUAAUUUAAUUUACAUUUAAAUUUUUUUAAAUUUCGAUCCAGAAUUUUAAUUUUUGAAAUUUAGGUUGUAAUUGAGCAUUUGCAAAUCGUUAAUUGGGGAUUGCUCUGCUCAUUUGAUUAGAUUCGUUUUUCAUUUAACCUUUUGUAUUUUGAACUUACCUUCUGUUUGGUUACUUAGAAAUUAUACGAAGAUGAAAAAUUAUGUUCUUUAAGAAUCUUGAAUCUAAUUGGAAAUGGAGAUUUUUUUGGAAACAAUUUCAAAUUCACGCACUAAUUUGUUAGAAUCACAUUUACAAUUUGUUUUCUUAAUUUGUUAUAAGCAACUGAUAUAUUCUUUUUCGAGUUAUUGGUUGAAACUUUAUUGAGUUGCAACAAUUUUUUUUUUUUGCUGUCUUUUUUCUUAUAUUUCAGAUGGAAAGCCCAUAGAUUCAGUGGUUCCAAUCCAUAUUGUGACCAAUGCUUCUCAACUUCCUGCUGAGUUCCUGGAACCAUCGUCUGAGAGGCAAUUGGUCAUUGGUUUUGACUGUGAGGGAGUUGACCUUUGUCGCCAUGGAAGUCUUUGUAUUAUGCAGGUAUAAUGUGUUUUGCCUUCCCGUUUGAUCCAUCUUAUAUUUGUUCGAAACGAAAUACAUCUAUUUACUUGUUUCUGUUUCAAUAGGAAUGAACCAAAUCCCAUCUACUGUACGUAUGUCAAUUUGAUUUAUGAGAAAAUUUAUAAACUUAAGCUUUGUGCUUUUUGGCAGCUAGCAUUUCCAGAUGCUAUAUAUCUGGUUGACGCUAUUCAGGGUGGGGAGACGGUUGUGAAAGCCUGUAAGCCUGCACUUGAGUCUAGUUACAUCACAAAAGUUAUUCACGAUUGCAAACGAGAUAGUGAGGUCUCUUAUUGAAUUUGUUUACUUCUGCAUCAUGGCAUGCAUGAUAUGCUUGACAGUAUGUUAUUUCUGUUUUUAAAUUUAUUUGUUUGUUUUUGUAGGCAUUAUAUUUUCAAUUUGGCAUUAAGUUGCACAAUGUUGUGGAUACCCAGGUAAAUAUCCUUUAUAACCUACUGAAAACUAUUGCAGGAUUGUGUGCCCUUUUAGUACCUUUUCAAGAUAAAGAAAAGGUGUCCAAUUUUGAGUUUGUAUGGAGACAUUAGGAAUGGAAAACAAGUGAAGUUUUGAGCAUGUCAAAGUUUCUGUUUUGUCUUUUUACCUAGAUGCUUAACUUACCUUCAUUUAUGGACGGGUCUGGAUUGAACCUCUUGCACAUAUUAUUGGCUAUGCCUGUUAAACUAUCAUUGACUUUAUCGUUAUCGGCUGGAGAGAUCUUGUAUAUGUAGAAGGAAAAACCAAUCCCAGUUGUAUAAAGAAAUUUUGCAUUGUCAGUCUGUAAUUUACUUUUGGAAAUGGUUUAUGGAGUUAUUUUGGAAACCUGUUAAACCACCAUUAGACUGAUGUGGUGCUUCGAGAUCAAAAUGUAAUGAAGGUAGAGAAGAUUGGUCCUUAGAUGUGGUUGAUGAAUUAUGAUAUUCCUUUUUAGUAAUCAAUAAUAGAAACAAAAUUCUCGUUCAUUAGCACUGGUUUGAUGUUUAAACUUGCUUUUACUUGACAUGGACUUGUACUUUUUGCUAUCACUCGUCAAUUUAAGUAUCAAUAUCCACUUUUACACUUAUGUUACGGGAACAGCAAUUAGAUUUGAAAUCAAUUAUAAAAGCAAAAUUCUUGUUCACUUUGGAGCCAUCAAUUUAUUAUUGACAUAAUCAGUGAACAUAUAUCUAAGAAUGCCUUUUUCUCCUGGUGGACUGCAGAUUGCUUAUUCUUUAAUAGAGGAGCAGGAAGGUCGGAAAAGAUCACCGGAUGACUACAUAUCAUUUGUUGGUCUUCUCGCAGAUCCACGCUAUUGUGGUAUUUAUAUGUCGUGGUAUCCAUUUAAGUAAAUAUUUGUUUCGUGUCGUCGAAACUUUUUGUUUCCUCAAUGUUUGUUUGUUUGGUCAACUUUUUAGUGAGCAGAGUUUAAAUUGCUUUCGAUAUUUUAUCCUUAGUAGUUACCCCUGAUACCUUUCUUUUGUUAAGCCAGUUAGGUAUUCCUGAUUUUGAAGUUAGGAUUUGUAGACAAUUUUCUUUUCCCUGUGUGCAAUUAAGCCAACCAAGACUAGAAAAUAGAUAAGAAGCAAAGAAGAUGCAUUAGUUUCAUCAAUUGCUGUAUUACUGCUUUUACAAUCAUCUUCUAUUCAUCUGGUUACCCUGCUCUGCUGUAAAGUGGCACUCUACACUUUUUAGUUCUUUACUUGAUUUUUUUGCCCUAUCUCUGCAGAGAUUUGAUAAAUAAGGUUUUGUCUUGCCUUUCUGCUCAGGAUUAAGUUUUGGUUUUGUGACUUGAUAGAUUUAAGAGCAUCUUUUUGUUAUAGACUUGAUUUAUUAUUCAUAUUUUACUACUGUUUGAUACUGCCUGCUAGUGUUGCUAGACUCUUCAAAUUCAUGAUCAGACAUGAUUUGUUGACCAUUCUUUAAUGUCUAUGGCUGUCUCAAAGUCGCUCCUGAAAUUUUUGCAUUAAUUAUUAGGUUGCUGAAAUGUGUUGCUUUUAUUUAAACGCAGGUAUAUCUUAUCAAGAGAAGGAAGAGGUUCGUGUACUCCUUAGGCAGGUUAGUUUUGAAUCUAAUUCAUUCUGAAAUUCUGGGCUAUGGUAGUUCAAAUUUUUGGAUCCUAGAAUUAAAAGUAUUCUUGUUGCCUUGGUUUGAUUCUAUCAAAUUCUUUGGGAUGUGGCUUCUUGGGAAGCCAAAUUCUGUUGUUUGGAAGAUUGUGUGAUAGAUUUCACAAUGUAAUAAAUGGCUUCCAGCUAGAAAGGAUAUCAGUAUAUGCUCUUUUACAACAGUUUGCAAGCUAUUAGACUUAAACCUCAAAAUUUAAAACAAGUACACUGUAAAUGUUGAUUAUGAUCAGUGCUGACACUUGGCCCACGUACUCACCAUCCUAGAUACUUAGACAAUUAUGUUUAAAGUUACUGUAUAUAGGACCAUGUUGUUCUAUGAGACAUGGACCUAAAACUUUGAAACAACUUGGACUCUUAGUGUUCAUGAAAAUCAGUGCUGACUCUUUGCCUAAAAACUUACAAAUGCAGACUGAUAAUUUUCAUGAAAAGCAGUGCCAACACUUGACAUUAUAUUUUAUGUUUGCCCAAACAACUUCCCUUUUCUGAUGCUAAGACAAUUUUGUACACAAUUACUGAUAGAUUGAAGAUCCAACUAGUCUGCAACAUGUGCUACCACAGUAAUUGUUCCGCUGGUUGUCAUGUGCAGGACCCCCAGUUUUGGACAUACAGACCACUAACUGAACUGAUGGUCCGAGCAGCUGCAGAUGAUGUCCGCUUUCUACCGUACAUCUAUCACAAUAUGAUGAAGAAACUAAACCAACAAUCCUUAUGGUACCUUGCAGUGCGUGGUGCACUAUAUUGUCGUUGUUUCUGCAUCAAUGAAAAUGAUUAUGUGGAUUGGCCACCUCUCCCGCCUGUUCCAGGUUUUUAUAUCUUGUCAAUUUCCAUACUGUUAUAGAUUAGUGUAACAACAACACCCCACCCCCCGGCGCAUUUGCAUAUUCCCCGGAGUGUAACAAAUUUGUCAAUAGACUUUGUCCAAUCACCAUUUUGCACGAGGGAAUGUUUCCUUGCAAUUACUCAUGUUGAACAUGCGACAUGGGAAGAACAGUCAAAAUAGGGGAGGAAGCCUGGUGUUUGGGUUUCUGAAACUUGUCUACCUUGAUUCCAUUUGAAUUAUAAAUACACGAGGCAAAUUCCAAUUACAUAUCACGCCCACUUAUGCAUGAGUUGAGUUUCAAUAUAGAAUUCUCUGCUCAUAAGCUUCUUAUUAAUAAUGCACUUAAUCAAUCAAUCAUCCAGCAUCCUAUUAACAAACUUACCAAAGAAGAUAAAGUGUUGCUAUGGUGUUGUAAAGUAUCUGCUUAUAGUUUGGUCUAGCCAAUGUGUUUCUUAUGAUUUAUAUCUACUGUUCUGCUGUCUUUCAUGAUCAAUAGGACUUUGGGCUUUCAGUUUAAUAUAAGAGCAUGUUAAAGUCAUUAUCUAAAUUCUGAAUAAGAUGAGUGAUUCUUGAUGGUUGAAAUGUUGCAUAUAUUUAGCGAGAAACAUAGUGCAUUAGUUGUGCAACCCCUUGGUUAGAAAAAUCUGUAUAUAAGCAGCUUAUGAUUUUUAAUAUUCAUUCACUACAGAAUGUUAUUUUGGAUGGUAUCUAGAUUGAUAGUCAUUCAAAACUUGUGAUGUGUUGUUUUAAUAACAUUAUAUGUAAAGUUUCGGCAACUUUUUGUUUUCUUUUUUCCAUAAGCUUGGUAAACCUGCUGUUAGGAUUUCAAUGUGUUGAUCUAGGUGUGCGGUUCAUCUAUGUAGAUUACUUGAUAGUGGAGGGAGAUGUUCCUGAAGAAGAAAUUCUAUCAAUUCUUGAUGUACCCCCCGGAAAGAUGGGACGUAUAAUAGGAAGAAGAGGGUCUUCUAUUUUGGCUAUAAAGGAAUCUUGCAAGUAUAUAUACCUCUUUCUUCUCUCUGUGUAAUGCAUAUCACAAUUUCAUGUUUGAAAAUGCUAAAUUGAUUAUCUUGGUCGCAAUUUUGCAGUGCCGAAAUUCUCAUUGGAGGUGCCAAGGGUCCACCUGACAAGGUUAGUCUACAAAAACUCAAAAUCUAUUGAAUAAUUAUAUUUUCACCCACACAAAAACAUUAAUCUCCUCGCGCAAACUCAAAGAGUUUCUGUUGAUUUAGGAUGAAAGCCUACAUGUACACUGUGAUGUGGGAGUAUGACUGAAUUUUUCAAUCGCAAUGCUAAAUGAAGGACCACACUAGUGCGUUUGUGACAGGAUCCUCCAUUUUUAUCUUUCUAAAAAUGAGAAUAAAUAAAUGACUAAGCAUUAGUAUUCUCACUCCUCUGGCCGCAGCAUGCAAUCAAAACGCAUAUGGUUGUGAAGUUGAUUUAUAUGGUUUGAGAAAUUUCGGAAGCAUUGUGGACAUGUCCUAAGCCUGCUUAGCAUUGAUUAAAGGGCUCUAUAAUUUCAACACUGCUCACCUCUUUUAAUCUUUUAUAAGUUAUAUUACUUAUAUUACUUUAUUACCUUCUCUGAGUUCACUUCUUUGUUGUCAAUUUGCUCCCCCAUUAUUUUGUUAAUUCAUGCUCAGACUUUAUAUAGUGCCUCAAAUUUUUCCGUGAAUCUCAACAGCAAAAUAUUACAGGAACUUUUGAAAUGCUGUAUCAGGUUGUUCAGCGGAACCUCUUCAAUUAUUUGUCGUUAAUUUUGCUUUACAGUUUAUUUUGUUAUUCUCAGCCAUCCUUUAUCAAAGUAUAACAAAAACUUUUAAGGUGAUGGAUUUAGGUUCAUGCAUGUAUAGGAAAAAGGACUCUUCAAAAUAAGGUGUAGAAAUCUGUCUUUCAAGAGCCUGAUAAGUAGUGGGUUCAUGCAGGUAUUCAUCAUAGGACCGGUGAAGCAGGUGAGGAAAGCAGAAGCCAUGUUGAGGGGAAGAAUGCUGGAGAUGUAUUAAGGAACAUAUGUCAUUAUGCUUGUUUGCAACUCUACAAUAAUAAUCACAAGUUCCAGUGGAUUAAGUUUUCUUCUUAAUGUUGUGGCCCUUCCUCAUUAUAUGGUACAGAGUAAUGAUCAUUCACCCUGUAGUAUAGUCUUUAAGACCAUAUAUUUAAUUCCUGUGGUGCUGUGGUUGAACGUGAAAGUUCCGUAGCGAAGCACCAAAACCUGUUUAUUGAGUGAAACAAUAUGUCUAGGUAAACGAUAAAUGAAAUCAAAGUUAAAUAACUACAGGACCAAUAAAAAUGGUUGUAGAAUCAUCAAAUUAAACCUGUUUAUUGAGCAGAUUAAUUUGAAUUCCUAUCCUCCGGUGGUCUGGACCUACGACGGUAGACUACCAUUGUGACAAAAAAUCUUUCACGGUCGGAGGAAAUUUUAAUUUUUGUUGUAUAAAUUUUCUGUUUUGGGACAUGUGACAAACGAAGAAGCUUUAAAAAAAAUCAUAAUCUUUGCAAAUUAAGAUCAUAUUUAAAAUUGAGGUGUAACUUUUGACGUCAAAAACACAAAAAUUGAUACUGUAAUUAUAAAAUAAAAAUUAAUAGUAUGUGGUCAAUGUAAUUUUUAAAUAAUAAUUUUAAUAAAAUUAUUUAAAAUAUAAUAAAUUUUUGGUCAUACAAAUAAAAAAUUAUAUUAACAUAAUUUUUAAAAUACAACAAACUAAACACUUUAGUUCCAAUAUCAACCCCAAACAGGUCUUAACUCUAUUGUCCGAUGCCAAUGCAACUGAAAACGAGUAUACUUAUAGCCUGACAACACCUAUGAACGUUGCAACGUCCCCUAUCGGAAAUGUUCUAGAGCAGCAGAGUUUCAAAUUGCCAAUUUACUUCAUUCAAAAACAUGAAGCAGAUGAAAAUUCCUCCCAAUAAAUAACCAAGCAAGGAGCCACCACAACUCUGCACGACUUAAAAUAUUUGCAACUUCGCAUCCGAUUCGGUUUAACUUACAACAAAAAGUCCUGUAAACUCUCUGUUCAUGAUUACACAAUAAUCAAGUCACUGUAUUGUUUAAUAUGUAUUUAUGGACAAGAAAGACUCAGGCUUGCAAUAUGCUCAACGCUUCGAAUAUCUUAACCGAAUAGGCAAAGAAUAGAGAAUACAGUAGUGAAAUGAACAUGAACAUGGGAAAAAAUUACUUUUUAAAACUACCAAAUUGAUAUUGUUGGCUGCCAAAAUUUGAGAAUGGGUCAUCUCCUACCGACUGUGGAGAUGUGAACCCAGAUUUACUGAAACCAGUUCCAGUGCCCAUCGCUCUCCCCAUGUAAAAUGAUGUUGGUGGACCCUUUUCCCUUUCAUCUGAACCAUCACUUAAUCCACCCACAACCCCUACAUCUGCCAGUGAUACCUUCUUGGCUGCAAAGUGCACAAAGUACCGUAUGAGAGAAACCUAAGGUAAUUAAUUCACAAUAACAGAAGCGGGGAAGACAUGUCAAAAAACUGUUAUAUGAUGCAAAUACAGACGUCAGUAAUAGAUCUGAAACAGUAAACAUGUGACUGUACUAUGCUAGGAAAUUACAGUACUUAGGAAGAUAAUACUUACAAGCAGAUAUAUUAAGAUCAAUGAUCCCACGACUUAAUGAAUCUGCCCAAAUUCCAGACUUCACCUGGAAAGCAUCCUUUUUGGUUGGAGGAUUUGAGACAGCUGAACACGUUCCAACCAAGUUAUUGAGGCUAGAAUCACUGGCAGCAUUUUGUGUGGUUCCCGUAGAUACUGAAUUUGAGUCGGAAGUGAAUGCUCCAAAGAAAUCAGAUCCAUCAUAAUUGUUCAGUGGAACCGUCGCAAAUGGAUCAACAAUAUUAGUAGUUGUUGGCUCAGAUUUUGGAGCCUUAGGUUCUGGAUGCACAGCUGGUUCAGGGGCAGCAAAAAGGUCAACUGGUGCAGGAGCUGCAGAAAAAUCCACGGGUUGAGAAGAAAAUAGAUCAACUUCCGUCUGCAUAAAUGGACAGUAAAAAAUAUAAGAUUAGCACAUAAACAAAUUCAUUUUAGCCAAGGGAGAAUUAUUACACCCUGAUUCCUGCUUACUAUAAACCAAUGCCUCUAAAAUUCCAAAAGUAAACCAAAGUAUCUUUCAAUUUAAUUAAUCAAACAAUUUUAUACAUUCUUUAUGCUCUUAUUAUUGCCAGGUCCGUUAUAACUCAUCCAGGUAAUGUAGAGGAAAAAAAAUUAUUUCAGACUUCUGCAGGUAAUUCCCAAGUCAUCAAAUGCCUUCUCAACAACACACAAACACAAACAUGCAAACACAUAACAUAUGGCAUUUCUAGAAACAUAGAGGAAAAACAAUCUGACCUUAGUCUGAGAAUUUAGUCCCAUUCCUUGCUCAGGUUGUGCUGACACAAAAGUUGCAUCAGCAAAAAGAUCAACCUCUGAGGCAUUACCAUUCGUGGCAGAUGUUUGAGCAGGGGCUGGAGUUGGUGCAUCCAUGAGAUCACCAAUCAAACUAUCUCCAAAUGGAUCCACUUGCUUAGAGUUCCCAGCAGCAGACUCUGUCGAAUAGGCCAAUCCACAACAUAUAGUGAGACACACCUUGCUAUAUGAAUUAUUAGAAAAGGAACCGGCAGUAAUCAUUAGUAUCAACUCUGGUAAUACUUUCUGCAUUCAAUGAAGCAGAAAUUUGGUUUCCACCAAGUAUCUAAUCGUACAUAUUCACUAUAAUAAUAUGAAGUGCAUCUGGUAGAAAUUCUUUCUACAACUACCACAUAAACACUGUUUUGCAGAAAUGGCAUUGGGCACUACAAGGUUUCCACAGCAGCACCAAAUUUCCGGCACAGGAUGUAUACAAUCAUGUAUGUUAUCAAUGAAUCGAUGCCUUGCUAACAGUGAUCAAGCUCUGUGGACUUCAAAUAAUGUCAAAAACCCAUCAAUCAUCCCCAUAAAAAUCUCCUCCCUGGACCCCCUCCCACAACCCGAAAAAAAAAAAAAUACCACCCAAUGUUAUGCAUUCAAUCACUUCUUCAUGAUCAAGGAACAUUAUGUUGAAUGGUCAGAUGACACUUUUUUUUCCCCCAAUCUAUUCAUGUACAAUCUUUUUAUUUGUGGUAAUUGAUUGAAAAUAAAAGUUUAUGGAAGAUACAUACUCCACAAGGGUUCUUUAGACUCAAUUGAAGCAGACAACUGCACAACAUAACAUGUCACACAGAAUACUUACUAUUACUAGAAGUUCCUCGAGGAUCAAAAUCAUCAAAAUCGUCAUCAUACUUAUUUGAAGGAAUGCUUGAGCUUUGAGAAGGAAUUGAACUGUAUUUGUCAGAGUCAUUUGACUUCAUUGCUGAUUUUGAAGCAUUGGAUGACAUAUUGUCUUGAUCCUUGCUGCAAUUUAUCAUUAUCAAAUUAACAAUAUCAUACAUAAAACAAAAUGCAAACUUCAAAGAGGGAGCAUGUGUGAUUACGUAUCAGUGAGUGUGUGUAAGAGGGAAACUUAGACGGAGAGAGAAAAACACUGGUACGGCAUCCUCUUAACCAACUAUCACAAGUGACUAUAUAAAAUUCAAUAUUAAUGCUAUUGCAUGCCAAGCAAUAACACGAAUCUCUUCUCAUGGAGCCAAUAUAAAAAAAUAUAUAUAUGGAGAUAUCUCCAAGAAAACCUUUAAAAUCUUAGCACAUAUGCCAAUCUCAAUCCAUCUCACAGAAACAUAAAAGUUAGAACACAAUAAAGCCAAAAACUGCCAUACCGUGCAAACCCCUUCUUCAAGGUGUUCCCUUGAUUCUCACUUGCAGCCCCUCUGCGUGACUUUCCAAAGGUAUCAUUUCCAGUCUUUUCCUCUCCAUAUGGAUCCCUGUCUUUAUAACUUUCCCUGAAGUUGUCACCUGAACCUCCAUAUCGAUCACUACUUCGAUAGCCACCAGUACCAAAAGAGGCUGAACCAGACUUAUAUGUUAUUCCAGUAGAUGAAAGUCCGAAGUACCUAGUAAUUGCAGCAAGCACACAGUUAAGUUAGAGGGAAUAAUCCAACAGUCAAAUUCAUAGAAGCUGAAGUUAAACAUAUAUUUUCAGUUUCUGAGCUUAUAACUUACUUUUCGCGGUUGGCAGAAGCUUUAUUUCUUACUUCUUGUAUUUUAUCUUUAUUGUUCAAAAGGGCCACAAUAUUUUCUGCCUUCUUCCUCACAUUAAUUCCCAUAUCCUUCCCACUUGGCUCAACAUACUCAAAACUUGAUAGAGACUUACAAAUGACCACAUAAAAAGAACCAUAAUCAGACAACACAAAACUCUUUUCUGAGGCAGUUAGAAAAGUGCUGACACAUUCAGCAAAAACGCAUUAGAAUAGGCCUUACUGAUAUCUGGAAAGUAUGUUCUAUUAUGUCAUCAACUGCACGUUCUGAUCCAUGGGAUAUCAGAUACUCUAUAACAGCCAAUGCCUGAUAUAUAAGAAGGUACAGAUGUUGAGUGCUUUAAAAUACCCUAUUAACCAAUAAAUGAGGGCAGUAGCUAUAAAAGCUUUAUGUGUCAAAUGAUUUCCAACAUUGAUCGAGUGAGUAGUAAGUAAGGUGGUACCUUGUAAACAUAACGCCAGUCCUUGCCAGUCUCAGCCAAUCUUGUCCAUAGAACAUUCAUAACCAUCUGACAUUCAGAGCUAAAAGACAUUGCACCUAAUAAGUUCAAAGCAAGAUAACAUACUUUCAGCACAACAUUACUUGAAAGAAAUUGAGAGAAACUGACAAUUUCUUGGUAGCCUGUGCUAUCUCUGCCAAUGCAGUGCCAUGAGGACCCCAAGGUUCAUUGUCUGUCGCAUCCAAUACCUGCAUUAGUAAUGACAAAAUUCAUAUUUGAAAAAAAAAAUGCAAAGAAAAAGUAAUCUCAUAAUGGUAGGAGUGAUGCAUAUGCUCCAAAGCUUAAAGCUUUCAACUUGAAGCCCAAUCUGAACCUAGAAAGCGAUGAUAUGAUUAGCACAAAUUAACACAUGCAUAUCAUCACCCCAAAAUUUCAAAUCGGCCCAUCUGAUUAUCAAAAAAAAAAUUAAAAAUUACAUAACCAUACGAAGCAACAGGAACAUGAGUUUAGAUAUUAAUAGGUGAGUGUAGAAUAGAAACAAUGAAUGUAAAGUGCAAAACUUGAAAUCGCUUGCUAUUACAGACAUAAACACAAACUAAAUAUCAUUUAGGUAAACCGCCUUUAAGAGUUUCACCACAAACCAUUUCUAAUUGCACCAACUUACAAUCCUAAACUAAACGAUGAAAGCUGGAGCCAAAAACUAAAGAUCAGCAAGGAAAUUCCAAUAUUAACAUUGUUUCAGUGAAAUCAAUUGAUCAAAGUGAAAAUAUGUGAAUCAUAGUAGCAAAGUCAGUCAGCAUAAAUCAUAUCUUACCAAAUUGCAACCUAUCUUUAAUUUUUUAUUACAGUAUAAAUCUUGAAUUUCCAACAAAUCAAAUACAAUAAAAUUCAUUAAAUCUCAUAGUUAAAAAAAAAAAAUCCACAUUAAACAUCAGCAAAUCGUCAAAGUAUAUAUAACAAAAUGAAUGUCUUACCUUCUGUUCAAUCUCCGGAACCUUCAAAACCUUCAAAUUCACCUCCCUCUUUCUGCAAAAAUCAAAAUAAAUAAAUAAAUGGUUCAUUCUGAGCGGUUACUAACCGAAUUGUAAAAUUUUUUAAAAAAAAAAAAGAACAUAAGCUCACAUUUCACGAACCGUCUGAUCGAAUACCUUCAUGAAAUCCAUGAUGGAUCUGUAUCAAAAGAUGAUGUUAUAUGUAAAAUCGAAAUAGUCAAAUUACCGUUUAGAUAGAUCUAAGCAAAUUGCAGGUAAGUGAAAUGUGGGAUCGAAUAAAUGAUAAAUCAAAUAAUUAACUAAUGAAGUGAAUACAAUGAACCGUUAAAUGUUCAGAUCUCGGAGAUUCUUGCAGAGAUUAUUAGAUGAUAAUGAAUCAGGUGUCGAUCUGUGGAUUCAUUACGGGAGCGCGAUAGAAAUAUAGACAGUCAUAAUACUACGCAAGUAAAAGAACGACGACGUUCAGCAACAAUGUCGUUUUCCUUUUUUGGCCUUUUUUCACUUGUACUGUUCUACAUAGGAUAGGUGGGGCCUAAUUUAUUUUUUAUUAAUUAAAUUUAGAGAUGGCAAGAUUUUAUUUUAAUGUCCUAAUUUGAUUGCGGGAUUAAAAUAAAAAAUUCCAUUUGCGGAUAAAAAAUAAAAAUUUUACUAUAUUAUUUUAGUUAUUUUAUUAUUUUAUGUUGACUUAUUAUCAUUGUUCGAGUUUAGUUAACUAUCAAUUAGUAUUAUUUUUAAAUUUUAAUAAUUAACAUCCUUAAAGAGAAAAAAAAAAUACUUUUACUUGAAGAAUGGAAAUGAAAAUUUAAGGACAAAGAGGGAAAAAAAGGUCAAACUGUGAAAACUGUUAUUGAUUUACUAUAUAUACAGUACAAAUAAUAGAUCAUUCUAAGUCUUCAGGAAUUAAUCCUAGUGAUUUUUAAAUAUUUUUAUUUAAUUCGCUAUGUAAAUUCAAAUUCUCAAAAUGAUGAGAUUGAAAAUUUUAAUUUGAAUCUUAUCACUAUAUUUUUGAAAAAAAAAUAAUAAUAAUAACGAUAAUGGUCGUCCGCUCGAUACCAUAGCCACUUCCUCCUCCGGUGGGCGGUGGUUCUCAUUUUGCCAUCUCAUUUUUAAAACACUGGAUCACACACAAACUCAUGGGUUGGGCUUUUUAAAUUUCACACCGUUGGGCUCAUAGAUCUCAGAUUAGAAUAUGGACUAUCGUGAGGGUGCACUUAUUGUAACUAGAAAAAGAUUUGGGCCAUUCAACAAAUGAAAGUAUUAAGGCCCGAAAUUCUAAAAUACUUCGGCCUUUCAAUUUUAAUAUUUUUCAAUUGUAUAAGUGGCUUUGCCUAAUCUAACGUGUAUUUCAAUGUCGUAUUGAUGAUCGUCAUAUGUGCGCACAUAAUUUAUUCUCCAACAAUUACUUUUGGAUUUUAUAUUAUAUUAAACCAAUACAUAAACGACACAUCAGUUUAUAGAUAAUUGUUUAUAUAAAUGAACAGUUAGUGUCUCUAACGUCACCUCUUAAUCUUAGCUAAUACAAAAUUAGAUUUGAAAUUACCCGUGAUGAGAAUGCUUGAACUUCAAGCUAGUGAUAAGAAUACUUUUAAUUUAUCGAUACAUCACUAAGGAUGCGUUUAUAUUUUAUACAAGCUCAACAUUGGCAGAUUGUAAUGUUUGCUAAUUUUUUUUUUUUGGGGGGGAUAUUUCUCCAUAAGUUAUUAUUAUUAUUAUUAUUUAAUAUAUAAUUAAAUGUGUUGAAAAGUUGGAAGAAGAGAAGCAUACCCUUCAUAGUUGAAAAAGUGGUUAUAUUAUAUUAGUAUUACAAUCGGUCACUGUAAAAUUCUGAAUUAAUUAACAUAUUUAUUUGACAUCUUGUGCACGAUUGAUAAAGAGUUCAUAGCGUUAAUUAGUCUCCUAAUUGACUUUGAGAAACACGCUGCAUGAUGUAUGUAAACUUUUCAAAAACACCCAACAAUUUGUUAUUAUAAUAUACAAAUUAUGAAAGUUCAAUGUCGAAAAUGACAAUUGAACUUUGAUUAUGUCCAACCAACAACCAUAAUUUAUCACAAGAACUUAUUCAUAAAAAUUGGUAAGAUUCUCUCAAUAGAAGCAACUCUGAGGCAGGGACCAACACGCGUAUUAAUUUAAUAUAGUUCUAUAAUUUAAUUUAUAUAUCAUUAUUGCUUUGAUGGAAACAUUAGUAUUAAACAUUUAUUUAAUUUUAUCUUCAAUAGUUAGAUAAAUAAAUUAAUUGGCAUGAUGAUUUUGAAAAAGAUUAUCAAAGUUUGACUUGGAAUGAGCUUUGUUUUGUAGAAAAAAAUAAUUGAAAGCGACUGGCCAUUUCAAAAUAUUUAAGUACCGUUGAACACACAUAAAUUUGAGUAAUUAAAUCCUAUGAAUAGUACAGAUUGUAUAAAACAUGUUCCAUUUCCAUUUUUUUUUUUUGUAUAAUUAUAUUACUCUUCUUUAAAAAUUAGAAUAGAAUACGUUAUGUGAUUUUGUCUAGCUGCCUUCUGCCACACUGAAGCAGCCAAAGCCUUUUAUGUUGAUCGGUUGACCAACACCAAGAGUCUAGGAUAAUGAGAUGAUUGUUUUUCUUUUUUUUCUUUUUUUUCUGUUUUUAUUCACUUUUUAAUCACAUACUUAAGAAUUCAGUUAGAAUUAAAGAUAUUGUAACUUUUUAAUUCCCAUUUAUAAUAAAACAAAUUCAUUACCAUACAGUUCGAAUUACAUAUUAUACAUGUAAAAUAAAUUCAUAAAAUGGUUUUUUUUUCUUUUUUCUUUUUUAAUUUCCUUUUUUCUGUUUUUAUUAACUUUUUUAAUCACAUACUUAAGAAUUUAGUUGGAAUUAAACAUAUCUUAACUUUUUAAUUCACAUUUGUAGUAAAACAAAUUCAUUACCAUAGAGUUCGAUUUAUAUAUGGCGACGCUGGUCACUCCAGUCUUAAAGAGAGAUUUUUUCGCUGGUCACUCCAGUCUUAAAGAGAGACAGUCUUAAAGAGAGAUUUUUUUUUUUUUCGCUUGUAGCUGGGCGAUAUACAUGAUAUGAUUAAAAGUUAAAUGGAGUUAACCCAAAAGUACGUAGUUUAGAGAUAUAAAUUUUAAACGUUAGUAUCUUUGGAAUACCUUUUGAUAAUUGUGGUAAUUACUUGAAUAUGGGGGCAAAAUUCUAACAAGUUGAUGUUUUCAUGAACGAUGAAAUUUAGUCUUACUACUUAUUGAACACACAAACUUUAAAAUAAUAUAUUAAAUGUACAAUUUAAUUUUCCUUAAUCGAAGUUCCACCUACCGAAAGAUGUCCUACAUCAAACAUGAUGUAUUUGGUGCCCCUAUCAUGGUAUGCAAACAUAAAUUAACGUUACCUUGUGUAUGUGACAACAAGCUCGAUCAGCAUCUUGCCUGUGGAAACUAAAUGGGGCCUCCUAUCUCUAAUUAGAUGAUUAAUGGUUAAUACCCUACCAUUAAAGAGUAUUCCCUUGUGGCGUUAUUCCUUUUUUAUGACUAAAAAUAUAAACCCUCAACCUCUAGCUUAUGAAGAAAAUGGAAUGAAAAUAGGGUUUUAUCUCACAAUGUCGAUGAGGUUGUCUUGUCAAACAGAGAUAAGUGAAAUUAAGGGAAUAUUCACCUUCGAAUAAUGCCAGCAAGAGCAAGAUGAAAGAUGCAUCGUGACUCAAUUAAUUGUCAAAAAGUCCAAUGUGCGGACAUUAAAGGAAACAAAUGACUGGCCAGCUUCGGCGGUUCUACUUUAAUUCUAGCUAGUUUUUUCAAUAGAGCCAUCCUUCAAAUGAAGGAACCCAAACUAGCUCUAAAUUCUUGUAGAAAUUUCUGGUCGUCCAAUAUAAUAAUUAUAUAUGACAUCGACCAUGGUCAUAGGGCAAUAGCACAUAUAAAUGCCCGUUUUAGGCCGCCUGGAGCUAGUCUUUUGACUAUAAACAUGAACCUUUAUCGUAAGAGUUAAUGUUUAAUCUAAAAUUAUCUAGUAAUUAGUUCGUGAGUUUCUUUUAAUGUGCUUAUAAUAAUGGCCUUAUCUAUGGUGGAUUAUGAUGUGACCGAGGGACGGAAAUAGUUGUAUGUUAAUAAUUUUAUUGCAAAGUAGGAGUGGAUUAAGAGUCACGCCACCUUAAUUCUAAAUGAAAGUUGAAAUUGGAGUGAUUGAAUUUAAAUAGGCAUGAUUGAUGGCAAAAUCUGCAUGUUGUCUUUGAUUACCUCAACCUGCAUUAUCUAUGAUCAAUCUAAUAUGAGUAAUGAUAGACAUUUUAAAAUUUUAUCUCAAAUUUUAUUUAAAUAGUAUUAUAUAUAAUGUGUUAUUUAUUAAAUAGGGGUAGUUGAUAAUUUUUUAUAAGUUGUAAGAGAAUUAGUUACAUUAACUCACCGAUCAGUGAACAAAUGAGAUAUCAAUUGAGAUAAAAUUUUGGGAAAUCCACCACUCCGCUCCUCUUCUAAUAUUGCCCAGUGAUUUGUCAAAGUAAUGUAUAUAACUCGACAAAGGAAGAGUUUUUACAUUCGACAUAUGACUGCGGUCCGCUAUUGUGUUGCUUAAAAGAGACACCAACUUUAAGUUUUCCACAUUAUAUCAAGCAAUUAGUAGACAAUGUAGGGACAAUUCAUUUGAGACUUGUAUGGAUUAAAAAAUGAUUUAUUAAUAGCAACUUGUGGGACUUUUCAAUUUUCAGCAUCAGAGGCGACAGUUGUAACCUCCUAUUCAUCUCUUUAGGUCAUAAAAAACAUAAUGAGAUGUCAAUUCAAGAUGUUAAAAAGUAGUAGGCGUCGGCAAAAGCAAUCUUUUGAGAGAGAGAGAGAGAGCCAGUCUUUUAUGGUUAAUAUAUGAAAGGAUUGAAGGGGACGUUAUGAUUUGAAAAGGGGAUUACAUGAGUCUCAUGUAACUUUCAUGGUCUCUGACAAAACACGGAGCAGAAGCAGACAUGCUGAUGCCAUCUCUGUUUCACAUUCAUCUCUAUCUCCUUUGGAAAAGUAAACCAAAUUCCCAUUCACAAAUUAACCCUACAAUGAUAAUGACUUGGAUUUGAUUUACAUUAUAUGUUCCUCGCUGGCUACAGACACUAGGUAACGUAGAAUAUAACAAAUUAAGACCAGGUCCAAUGUCAGGUAACAAUGUCUAAAAAUCAACCAAUCUAAUUUAGUCUUAUGUUUCAGUAACUUGAAUGUGAUGAUAACUGAUGAUGUGUUAAUAUUGGUUAAUCACACUUUGAUUCAGUCCUUGUGGCUUAAUGUCAGCGUAAGAAGAAUCAGCAGCUAAUAAACUUGGAUACCAAUUACUCAGAUCAUCAUGAUGACUAGUAGCUUUCUCUUGAUGAUUAUACCAAAGAGUGCCAUUGUUGUUGACAUAAUAUUGAUCACAAGGGUCUCCGAUUCCGAAGCCGAAAUCCAUUAGAAUCUGAUCGGCAUCUUCAACACCACCGUUAACGUUGUUUCCAGCAGGCAGUGUAACACUUGAGCCCUCUUGAGAAGAUGUGAGAACAGGACUGUUCUUCAAGCUUGUACCCAAUUGAUGAGAAACAGUAGAACUAGUAAAACUCAUUCCAGCAGAGUGAGGGGGAAUAAAGUGAUGAUUAUUUACAGUACUUAAUCCAUAAGCAAUAUGAUCAUGAUGAUCAGUUAGCAACGGCAUCGAUGGCGAAGAAGAGAGUUGAGUAGGUGAAGCUGGAUAUUGGGGAUCACAGGCUUCAGAUUUUGGCAGUGAUAUUGAAGGAUUUGAGUCAUGAAGAUGAUUAGUAUCAGUUGGAUUGCUGCCGCUAAUAAUUGGGGAAUUGUUAGCAUUGUUGCUUGUGAGCAGGCUUACUUUCCCAGCAAGUAACUUCUUCUUCAACUUGGUGUUCCAAUAAUUCUUCACAUCGUUGUCAGUUCUUCCAGGUAAACGAGAAGCUAUUAUGGACCAUCUGAUAACAAAAACGACAAGUGGGAAAUUAAAUUAUUAUAAGCCCAAAAUCAAACAAUAUAAAUAUAAAGAUAAGGGGCAGUUUAUUAACUCUAUAUACGAUCAGUAGCAAAAUUAAUUACCUGCUUCCUAUUUGACUAUAGAGGGUACAUAUCACAUGAUCUUCAUCUUCAGUGAAAUUCCCAUGUUUGAUGUCUGGCCUCAGGUAAUUUAGCCACCUUAAACGACAACUCUUGCCACAUCUCUUGAGGCCUGAAAAUUUAACAGCCAAAGAGAUUCAAAUGAACCAAAUACAUAAGUUACAGCAUUGAAAAUAACGUAACAUAAGACAAAGAAAUUGUUGCUUAUAAGAUGUAUAGAUGUGAUGUGCUUAAAGCCGACCCAUUUAUACAGUAUUAAUUAUUGAUUAGUGAUCAAUAAUAUGAUUUCACAUGAGGGUUUCAAUCGUAUAGCCGUAUAGGUUCUUUUAUGAUGGUCCCCAAGGCCAGAAGAAAAUGUUAUCUCUAACAAGAAGACAAACAAAUCCCUCUGGCAAGUCUACUUUUUUCUUGUACUGUUUCUAACGUGUGUACUAAAUACAAAACUGAAAAGCAAAGACGAAAACAAACCCUUCAGAGAAUAGAUGAAAUGGGCUGAAGUGAAGGAAUCUGUCAAAUUGUUUAAAGGAAAAAUAAUAGGAUAAUAAUAAUAAAUUUAGAGGAAAUUUUUUUAAAAAUUUAAAAAAAAAGAAAAAGAAAGAAAACACUCUCCUUUGGUUACAUUACAUUUCAUGAUCAGAUGGAUAAUUUUGCUUGAACUAAACUAACAAAGAUAAAGAAACUUGAAAUGGAUAUUGAGUAAACUUGAUUAUAACUUGUAAGAAAAGAAAUUUUUUUUUUUUUUUUGGUGGUGAUAUUGGGUACUGUGUGAGAGAAAGAGAGGAAAAUUAGAAUAUACCAGCUUUUUGAGGCAAAGCAAUCCAGUUACCGCCAGUGCCAUGGGUCUCGACAUAACGCUUAAGAGUGGCAUCUUCUUCGGGAGACCAGGGUCCUCUCUUCACGUUGGCUUUGUCACAACAUGGAGCUCUCCCCAUGGCUGCUAUUGCUGCUCAGUGCACACUGACCAGAACCCACACAGCAAAAGAGAUCAACUUUAAGAAGGUAAAAUGAGACACGCAAGAAGAGCCAAGAUGCCAGCUUCUUUAAUCAAGAAAAGCAAACAAUGGGCUAGUUUCUGGUUAAGGGUUUAUAUAAAUAUAUAAAGUCGAUGGCGCCUUUGAGGGCUUCAUUUUGCAAGACUCUCUUUCUAACUAUUACAUGAAUACAUCGCCCUUUUUCAAGUACCUUUUACUUCUUUAUUUUCGGAACUUUGUGGAAAUGUCAGAGUUAUUUAGUCAUUUUUAAAUUUAUAAAAAUGACCGGACUUAAACUACAUUCUUACUUUUACAUAUUAAAAGUAAAAAGACCAGGAUACGGUGCAAUUAUGGUACCGUGUUAUAAUUAUAUUCAGUUGUUGGAUGUAUUUAAAUUGGUGGAGUCUAUUAACAUUCAACGGCUGGAUGCAACUGUGCCACGGUACCAUAAUUAUACCACAUGUUUCUCCUUAAAACAAAUCAUUUUAGACAAUAAUACCUCUAAAUAUAAUGAUAAACUACUUAUAUUUGUUAACUAUCAUUGAUAAUCAGUUUAUCACAAUCGUCACUAACAGUGAAUAUUCUAUUUAUUACCAAAUAAUAUAUACAAUUUCUCUUAUAUCAUAAUUGAUGAGUGCAGUCCGUUGUGUCUAUUAACACCAUCUCUAGUAGGAUUAUUAUUUUUUUCGAAGAAGUUAGGGUUAUACUUUAUUGUUCAAAAAAGCUUAUGUUGAGUUAUUUUUAUAAAUUAACCAUAAUGUUGGACCAUUUCAUAAAUUUCUCUUUUUAAAUUUUAUUUUUUAUUUUUAUAUUUGGCUUGUUCCUUGGCUGUUAAGAUAUUAUGACCCGGUCAAAAAUUGCGCCACGUGACAUUGAUUUCAUUUUUUUUUAAUUAUUCUGAAAUUUCACUGAUCAAACCGGUGAUUCUCAGGGAAGUUUGCUUCCCCCGUGAGCAAACGGUUCAAAAAGCUAGAACAGAGACCAAGUGCUGGUUCACUUCUUUAUUCAUAUAAAUUAUAUAAAUAAAUAAAUAAAUUUGCUUUAAAGACAAAAAAAAAAAAGGAAAAAAAGGCCAUGGUGUGAAAAUGGUAUCAAUUAUCAGCAAUUAAGCAGCCGUUGGCGGUGCUAAUUAAUUAAUAAUUAUUUGUUCCCGUUUUAGUAAACAAUAUCGUAUGCUUCUCUUCUAAUUAGUUGUUAAUAUUAAAUGAUUAAGGUCAUUAUUAGAAAACAUCUGACUUUUACUUAAUGCAGGCUUAUUUAUAUACAGAACAGAAGAUUAAUUGAUGUCAGUGGAGUUCACACUAUCAGUUGCCAAAUCAACGUCAAUGCAAACGUCAGGCAAAAUUACUUAGAAAUUUUGCUUUGCCAUACGCUAGCUAUUUGAUGCAAACUUUGUCGAAUACUAUCAUGCGUGCUACAAAAUUGAGUCUUGUAUUUCAAAUUUUGUAUCUUACUUUUUCAACCACUAACCACAAUCAGUAAAUUUACAAAGAAUACGUAUAUAUUUGCAAAUUCUCUUAAAAUUUGCGAAACAAUUCCUGAUAUUUCUGAGAUAUUAAUUAAUGAGACUGUGAUUAACAGUGGGUCAAGCCCACAUGGGAGAAAGCUUUCACCUUUGGGAUUUAAAAAUAUAUUUUUCUGUUGAAAGUGAAAGAGCUGGGGCUAGAAUGAGUUGAUUGCAUGCAUUGCAUCAUGCAUGGACCAAGUUAAUAGUAGAACGGUCAAAAAAAAUAAAAUGGAAAACAGCUGCGACUCGUUUGCAGAAGCUGCAAGUAACAGCUUCGAACUUUCCCAUUUCCAUCACCUUGCAUUGGGACCUCUUUCUCUCUCCUCUAGCACCCGUGGAAGUUCCCCAUUGGCUGCUGUUACUCACAGAAGCUGUAACAUAGACUUCUCCCUCGUUCAAAAUGAUUUUUACACCAUUUGCGUUUGGGUCAUCUGUUUAAUAAGCGCAGGGGGGGACUGUCGUUGGUUGCUUUUUGACCCUAAAUGUUGCUGUCGCUUGGACCCAUUGGCCAUUGCAGGGUCCAGUUGACUCUCAGACUAAAACUGAAUUGGGCAUUAUGCAUGUUGCAUGCUUGUUUGUCAGUGGCAAAAUGACGCCUUUUUGGUAAGCGCAGCAAGGAAUCAAAAUGGACACAAACUUUCAGUCUUGCACCAUUCCCUCCUCUGUGAUAUUUAUGCAUGUUAAUUUGUAGACGCCAUUUGGGAAAAGUUUAUGUGAACGGAAAAAAUAUGUUUGUAAUUAACUGCAGUUAGUUAAUUACACCAGAUAUCUCAGCUCUUUCAAAAUAGAAAACUAAAGCUACUAAUAAUUUCAAAAUUAUAGCUUCAAUGGCAAAUCUUUAAUGCAUUUUUCUCUCUCCAGAGUGUUGUGGCAUGGGCUUCUUUGUUUUCGUAAUUACUAUUAAUCAAUCGAAAUAAGAUCUAUUUUAGUUAUUUCCUCAAAACUGAUAAUCAUCCAUUAGGUUUAGACAUAUGUAGAAUUUAAGUUCGUAAAAUUUCACUCAAAGUCAAUUUUUACGAACCACCACCAAACCCAUUGGGUGGGCCGUCACGGCUAUUCCUUUGAAGUUUGGUCAUCGAAGAAACGAGUUCCAGUUCCACGUGGGUGCUCGUCUUUCUUUGUAAAUACUAAUCAACGGUCGUUGUAUUCUGCGCGGAUUAGGCCUUUACUGGCGGCGCUCAAUCGAUCCACAUACAAUGCAAUAAUUGUACGGAGUUAAUGUAUGUUUGGGAUUUGUGGUGGAAUUUUUUUUAGAUUGGCAUUCAUGAUUUAAGUUGUUGUUUUCAACCCAAUACACUAGCAUUCAUUAAAUAAGUAUUAUCAAACAUAAUUUUGAAGGUUAUUUCAAAACAAAUAAUAAUAGUAAUAGUUAGAAGGUAAAGUGUCAAACAUUUAUUAGACAAUCCACCACAAUUCUAAAUAUGCAAUUGAGCUUCUAGUUGAGCCAUGAUUCAUUGAUUCUAGUGUCAAUGAGUUAUAACAUAUUAAGGUUCUGUUUGGUAUGAAAUAUAUUUUUCAUUAUAUAAAUGAUAGAUCAAUUCAAUUUAAUUUCUAAACGACAACAUUUAGUAUUUACUAAAUAUUUUUAAUGCAGUAGCUUAAAACUACAACUAUCUAAUCUCAAUACUAAACAGGACUUAAGAAAGCAAAUUUUUAUUUUGACAUGACGAGCCAAUUAACUUAGCUUAAUUCAUUAUAAAUUAGUAACUAGUAACAAUAAUUUUUGUUAGGAAGUUCGAAGAAAAUUUGAAGCCCGAUAGUAAAACCAUGUGUCCAAUUUUACCCCAGUAAUCAUCUGUUUCCUAGGUCAUAAGCAUACCCAACGCAAGCCCAAUUAUUUUCCUAGUGGAUUUGCUUAUGUAGCCGAAAACCGAAAUUCAAUGUUCUAAAUACACCCUAAUCUUUUCCAAGUACACAAUUACCAUUAUUGAUAUGUUAGUUGGAUUGAUUGUACCAACAUUCCAUGAAAACCAGACGAAGUUAAGGAGUGUUCAGCGCUGGGCUAACACUUCGACACAAUUUUAACCAUCCGUAAAUAGCACUUGAAACUCUAAAUUUAUAAGAUAAUAUUACAUUAUUACUCAUCAUACACAACGCAAGUAACAUCAUCCACUAUAACAUUAUACUAUAAAAUCAUAUACAUUAGUCUAAACAUUUGAUAAUUGGAUCCUACUGUUAAUUCACGUAAUUAUGAAUUGUUUGUUGAUUCUUCAAAAUGAAUACAUACAUAUUAUAACUUUUUUAUUUAUUAUAUAACCGACAUAAUAUUUUAUAAAUAUUUUAAAAUUUCUCACCACCGUGAAAAGUUGUGUUUACGUAUAUGGUAUCAUUUUUUUUGUUUUCAACUUUGUUUUGGCAAUCGAGCUGCAAGUUGCUAGUGAAAAAUAUGGAAUCCUAGGCAAGUGGUGGUACGCAGUAAUUCAGUUUCAAUCCACCACCCCAAUUUACGAAAUUAUGGAGACAAUUAGGGCCUGUUUGGUACCGUUUUCAAGCCUCUAUUUUCGUUUUUGUUUUAUAAAUACAAUUGAAAAACAUGUUUGGUGGGCUAAACUCAGAAACAAAUUAUAAAACAAAAAAUUCGGUUUCAGCUUUCCAGUUGUAAAGUUGAAAACGUGUUUAAUGCGUUUUCAAAUGAAUUUAUAGUUCACACUCAAGAACAAACUACAGGACAAAUCUCGGCUCGUGUUCUCUUCAUCAACAGCUCCCAAAGUCCCCGAUCUAAACUCCCCGCACUCACUAUCACUCUCUUCUUCCUCUUUCUCUAGAUCUACAACACAUAUCGCUCUCUCUAACUCGAUAUGCCAGUCCGUUGCUGCUGCUGCUCGAUCUCGGCUGUUGCAGCUGCUCUCUUCACUUGGUAUUUGCUCCAGCUACUUCCAGUUCAUUGUUGCUGCUGCUGCUCUUCCAGUUCGUUGCUGCUGCUGCUCUUUAGAGUUUGUACAUUCACCAUUAAUCUGAUGCUCUUCAUGAUUACAGAAUGUUCAAACUUUCGAAGAAGAUUCAGGUCAACCUUCAAUUCAGAAUCCGGAAUAAGGCCAUUUCUCUAUGACAGUUUAUGAGUUUAUCAUUGAAGAAUCUUCACUUUCUGUGUUGCUCUUCUGGAAGUGUCAUUACAUUUCCUUCAUGUAAAUGUUUGAGAUUCAAUGGUCGAAAGGCCAUUAAUUAGCAUUAAUAAUUUUCUGGUUGCAGCAGUACGUUAUAUCCUGUGGCAAUCAGCAUGUGUGUGCAAUUUGUAUUUUCUUGUGAUUGAAUUUCUGGAGUUCUAUUCUUUCAGAAUUGAUAAAUUCAAAGGGUAUGCUGGUUUAGUGGCCUUGGUGCUAUUGUUAGAAAUACCGGUGGGGACAUUAUGCUUGCAGCGGUAAAGACCUAUAAAUUUUUGGGAUAACGAAUUCUCAGAGGCAGAGGCUCUUAGAUUUGGAUUUUGGGACUUAAGUAAGCUCGAAACUGAUGCUAAGACUUUUGUGAACGGAAAUGAUCCAAGUCAGAAGGAAAAUCUUCAGAAGGAAUUGUUAGGAGUAAUCUUUAUCUUGCUUUCAAAUUAAUCCCGAGGAGCUAUAAUGAAACAACUCAUAGGCAUGAACUUUACAAAACAUUGUAAAGCAUCCUCCAUAUAUGGAAAUGGAAAGGAACCCAUCUUUAAUUCCAAUUGCAUGUUGCGCUUUGUAUAAUUUUAUUCGACGAGAAAAUGCAAGUGAUAGGUUAUUUGGGGACUUUGAUGUGCAAGAUUUGGUUACCAACAAUGAAGGAGACACUAUUAAUCAACGAUGAAGGUUAUUUGGGGACUUUGAUGUGCAAG